UCGACACGUGUUAGCCAUACCUUGACAGCUUCAAGCCUUUGUUGAUGUUGUGCCUCCUCUCUCGCUACUUUGUUCUUCACCUCAGCUUCAAUUGCCUUGAGAUCAUCCAUUUCCCUCUUCAGAGCCCUGAGAUUCUCCUUGAGGUUUCGAAUAUAACCUUUACCACAUAAGAGUCUAAAGAUACGAUUGAGAUCAUCACCAGUAAGUUGGAUAGGAUUACAACUCCCCAUGUCGAUAGAAAGAGAGAAAACUUUGAGUAAGCAACAAACGCAAGCUAAAGAUGAAGAAGUAUUUUUUUUUUUUUUUUUUUUUUUGAUGAAGAAGUAUUUAAUGUGAAAAGCAUUUUACAAGUGACGAAGGCAUAUAUGAUUUGUUAUCUGUCGGUCCUCUUUGGGUUCUAAUUUCCACAACUACCACAUAUGCAUCGACUGAUACGAUUCACAUGAAAAAUGAAAAGCCACACAAUUUCUCUAUGGUGAUGGAAAGAGAAUAUUUCUGAAGCUGAAGAAGUUUUUUAUGUCAAAGAAAUCAUUGGAGAUAAGAGCAUGUGCAAUGGGAGAAACCCUCAUGGGUCUCUAUCCCUUUUUUUUUUUAUUAAUAUUAUAAAUUGCUUUAUAAGUAGAAACUCUAUGGAGAGACUUUGUAAUUUUUGAGGGUCCAAUAGGAGAAACUCGAAUCUAUAAUAUUAUUUACGAAGUCAAAAAUUUUAUGUGUCAUCACCACAACGAUUGCCCUACGUGGCAUUAAUAAAAAAAUAUUAUAUGUCAUUUUAAUUCGUUUUGAUAGGUCUAUCAUUAAUCCUACAUGUAAAAACCGGUGACAUGGAUUUUCCUUCGAUAAUAUAACGGCCCAUGGGCCAGAGAUUUUAACAACCGUCAUAACCAUAAAAACCUAAACUCUAGCGUAUUCUUCUUUUUAGAGCUGGAAUUAUCAUCCAAAAUCCGCUCCAAAAAAAUCGGAUAUCUGAAAGGGUCGGAUCCGGAUCCAGAUAGUAAAAUUUCAUGUUUGUCAAAACUGGAUACGGAUCCAGAUAGUUAAAUUAUAAGGUCCAAAUAUCAGUAUCCGAAUCUCUAACCUCUAAAUAUAUUUGAAAAUUAUAUUUUAUUAAUAAUUUUAUAAUAUAAUUAAGAUUAUUAUAUAUAAAAAUAAUUUAAAUUAAAAUUAAAAUAUCUUUUCAUAAUAAAAAGUUAAUUGUUUUACAAAAUAUUAAAUAAAAAUUUAAUUUUAUCAUUAUUUUAAUAUUUAUAUUUUAAAUAUUUUUUGGAUUCGGAUCUGGAUUCGGAUAUCCGCGGAUAUCUUAAUAUUUAGACGAAUAUCCGCAGUCCGGAUAUCCGAACAUCCCAGGUACAGAUCUGGAUAAUUAAAAAUCGGAUCCAGAUAUCACAAAAUUACCCGGAUAUCCACUUCGUGCUGGGGCUACUUCCUCUUAUAUAUAUUCUUUCUUAAUCUCUCGGUAUUCUUUUGGAUUUUGCUCUGUUUUUGAUUUUGCUCUGUUUUUUUUCUUUAUUUAGAUGUUCAGCUUUAAUCUUAUGUCAAUAUAAAUUGAUUUUCUAAUUUUGGUUUCCACUCUUUAUGUUCUUUUCGUCACUUUAAUUAAUCUUUUCUUUUGGGCUAUACACAUUAUGAUCAUGUUUUCGUAUGUCCUAUUUAUUAUAAUUAUUAACAUAUGCUUUUUGUUGUUCUGUUCUCUUAGACUUCAUCCCCCAAAGUUCUUCAAGAUCUUACAUGUAAUAAUAAACGUUUGUUUCCUUCAGGUCACUGAUUCCAGCUUUUGCAAUCAUAUCUUUAAAUGGAUCCAAAAGGUAAUUGCAAAUAAUCAUUAAAAUCUCUUUUUAGUUUUAGAUGGUUUUUUGCCUUUCGUAUUUAACAAUUUUUUUAAUCCUUUUUAACAUUAGCAAUUUAAUCAGUUUUAAAAUUUUGAAAACAAAAUUGUUUAGCCGAUUAACUCUUUUAAUUAGCUUUUCCUUUUACAUGUUUUUUCUCUUUUUCUUUUUUAAAAAUUUCUUUUUUUCCUUGCUUUUUUAACACUUUAAAUAGUAUAUUUCAUAUGAUUUUGAGACUUCGCAAAGUUAUAGAAGUAAUUGUUAUUUCUGUUUCUUGUUUGCUCAUAAAGGAAAAAAUGGUAAUUUUUUCAUAUCCUUUUAUGUUACUUUUUUCUUAAUAUUGAAUUAAGGAUUUAUUUUUGUAUUUUGGUUAUGAUAUCUCGUGGAAUGAUGAACUUGGAUUUAGAUUAUUAUAUUACUUAUAGAUUGAUAUAGUCAUUGUCACUUAUCCCCCAAUAUAUGAAUAUUAAUAUUGGCUUUAAUUUUUUUGUAUAAUAGUUUUCACCAAUCAAAUUAAAUUGAUUUGAAUUGGUCAGGUUUUGUUACUUGUGUGACAUACUUUUGAUGCAAGAAUUUCCACAACAAAAUAUCCAGGUUGAAAUAUAUUAACCAUUACAAAAAAUAAAUAAUAUUAAAUAGUUAGAUUGUAAUUUUAUAUAUUAAAAAUAAUAAGCCAGAACAAAGGCACAUCUAUUCAUAUAUGCGAUUUCCAUAAUUUUGGAUUCCAUAUAUUUAUCAAAAUUUUAAUAUAUCUGGAUCAGAAAAAUAUUAAAUUAAAACAAACAAGUGACAACAAAAUAUGAAUAUUGUAAAUGAUUUUUUUUUUAAUUAUAGAUGUUAUCAUUAAAAAAAAAGACAAUUCUCAAAAAUGGUCCAAAAAACUAAAUCUUCUCAAAAAGAGCCAUUUCUUUUCACAGGGCCAAAUAUAGCAUUCAUUAAAACAAAACAAAAAAAAAACACGAUUAAUUUUAAUUCUAUUUCCUCCUCUAUGAAAAUCACAAAUCUCACAAAAACUUUCAUUGAUCGCCUCACGACUUCCACUGUUGUCAGAAUUUCAUCUGGAAUUUGACGGAAUCAUCGUCGGAGUUAGCAAAUCUUCACUCUGAUAAUCGAGCUAAUCCCAACUUUGUCUCCUUCAAACAAUUUUUCAUUUUCUUUGAAACCUUAAUCGAUAUCUCAAAUUUGGGAAAAAAUGGGGGUUUCGGAAAAAAAUAGGGGGUUUUAAAAACUUUUGUGAUCAACCUAUAGGUUUUCGGCAAAAAUCUGUUUUCUUGAAUCCUAAAUCGUUUUGAAACCGUUUUCAAACUGCAGAUCGUCAGAAAUUCAAAACCCAUGCCUGAAUUUUCAACGGGAAUGCCUCCCUAAUAUUCAGGAAUGAUUCAUAUUGGUUUAAGAAUGUAUUCAUGAAUCAUUAGACCUUCAGGAAUACCUUUAAAAUGUUUAUGUAUUUGUUGUUUUAUAUACCUACAACAAGUCUCAAUAGUUUGUUUUAAUCUUUGUAUUAUCUAUUAUUUUGACAGUUUUAACUAUACAUGUUUACAUGUAUAAACAUGGACAAGCUUUCCGUGAGAAGUUUAUUAAGAUAAUUUUAGGAAGCCUUUCCUAAAAUAUUAAGAGACCUUAUUGAAUUUUCAAUUCAGGAAGGCUUUCCUAAUUUUCAGGAAGAAAUUCGUAAUAGUUUAAGAAGAUCUUUCUUAAUAAUAAACCUUCAAUGAUCACGUUUUAAAUUUCUCUUAUAGAUUUUGAAUGUAUAAAAUGUUAAUGUAUUUGUUGUUUAACAAACAUUUUCUCUUGAUUUGAUCGGGUCUAAGACAUUUUGUGAUGAAUAAAGUUGAUUGAAUACCAUUAAGUAGCAAGUAGGUUUGCAUUGCAAUGCUUUUGAAGAGUAUGCUGUAUCAAACCAAAAAUAAGUUGUUUACAUUUUAAUUUCAGACCAAACUACAGAUUUUAAACUUUUGGAAUCCAUGUCUGAAUUUUCAAUUAGAGAAUGCCUCCAUAAAUAUUCAGGAAGGAUUCAUAAUAAUGUAGGAAUGUCUUCAUGAAUCAUAUAUCUUUCAAAAAACAAUUAAAAAAAACAAUAAGCAAGUGAUCUAUAUAUUUUGUGACGACGUUGAAGCCAAAAUUGAAAACCCUGAAAAUUUACUGAUAAAAGAAUGUGUCGAUAUUGUUAAAGAGAUAGUAAAAGAAUUCUAUGGUGAUUCAUACAUAUCAGAGAGAGAUCCAAAGUUUUUUUAAGAUAAAGCAAUUCUCAGCCCGAGAAAUGUAAAUGUGGGAUUCAUAAACGAAUACAUGUUGUCGAAAAUGCAAGGUGAACAUAUUUAACGCUUUAUAAAUAUAUAUAUGAUCUUACACUUGAGCUUCAUAUCGUUAUUUUAAGUUAUACUUAGUGAACUUUGUUUAAAUUUUUUCUAGGUGAUGAACAUACAUAUUUUAGCUCGGACAGUAUUGAUAUUUCUGAUAAGGGUAAGAUUGACGAAAAAGUCUACACCCAGGAAGAUCUUAAUAGUAUUAAGAUCUCAUGAUUACCGAAUCAUGAAUUAAAAUUAAAAAUAUGAACAUCUAUUAUGUUGGUUUGGAAUAUUGACCAUAGAGGUGGUUUAUGCAAUGAAACAAGACUCUUAGUAACACAAUUGGUCAAAAGGUCUUGAUCCCACAAAUAUUUGUUUCUCCUACCGAGACAAGGUUUCCAUUUAAAUGAGGUGUAAAAAAUUUCCUAUAGCUAUCCCCUAUGCAAUGACUAUCGAUAAAAGCCAAUGACAGACUUUGCAAAAGGUUGGACUGUAUUUACUAAAACCUGUAUUUUUCCAUGGACAACUUUAUGUGGAUAUAUCACGUGUUAUUUCGAGAGCUAGUUUGAAGAUUCUGAUAACGGAUACUAUGAGUAAGCCACAAACCAAGACUUUGAACAUUAUAUACAAGGCCGUCUUUCAGAAUGUAAGAAAACGAUAGUUUAUUUUAUUUAUUUGGUUUAGAACUUUACUAAUUUAAUGGUUUGUUUUAAUGACACUCGGUUUACUUAUGCUUCAAAAUUAAUAUCUUUUCUCUUUUUCCAUUAAUGGUUAUCCUAAUUGUCAAGAAUCGAUACUUUUAUUAAAUAUAAGAGAAAUCGAGUACAAAACCAUAAUGGUAUUUGAAAAAUACACACUAAUACAAACUUCAACUUAAGAAUCUGCAGUUGGAAUGUUGUACAUCAACAAAUAUUGAUGCACAUAACGAUAAUGGUCACAGUUGAUAAACUGAUGAGUUUUUUCAUAAGUAACAUUAUCCAACUAUCAAAAUUUAUGAGUUUAUUAACGAUACAGAUCACAAUAUCAUUAUCAAACUAUCGAAACUUUUCACCAUUAUAAAAAAUGAUUCAGAUAGUUAGUAUUGUUAGAAUAAGAAAAUAUUAAAAUAUAUCAUUUUAAAAUAUUAUAUAUAACUUAUAAAUCUCAUAUUUAUCAAUGAUCGCCUCUACAAAUUUUAUAAUCAGCUUGGUAUACAUUGCAAGCCCGCGCUUGGCGCGGGUCUCCACCUAGUUGAUCUCUAAAAAAAAACUUAAAAAAUAAAUUUACUUUGAAAGCAAUGUUUAUUUCAUUCAUACAGACUUAAAAUUAAAAAAUUACAACAAAUAAAACAUAAAAUAUAUUACAUUAAACUUAAGUUUUUAUUUUGUGUUUAGCCAAAUUUUUGCCAUAUAUGCUCGACCAAAUCGGCUUUUAAUUGAUGAUGCACUUCUGGUGAUCAAAUUUUUUUCUGGGUAUCCAUCAUAUUUAAAAUAUUUGUAGGCAUAGUUGUGGAAUAUGAAUAAUCCACAUUUGAACUUCCGCCUCCUUCCCCUUGUUGGAAUUCUUCAAUACGAAAGUGCUUGUAUCCUUUGUUGAACUAAGCUUGAACAAAGCUUGAGAAACAAGUUUCCUAAAAGGAUUAGGAAAUAUAGUAUAUUUAGGAGAUACCUAAAUAUACCUUAGGAGUUAUCUAUAAGAAGUUUUCUAUUUCUAUAAGGUUUAGGAAUUUGUAAGUCUUCUCUUCUAUAUAUAUGAAGUUACCAAAGUGUGGUAGACUCAUGAGAUUAUAGAGAGAGCUUUGAGGCUUUAAGUUUUUGAGUGAGUUUUCUUAAAGCAAUAAAAGGUGCUUUGGCAAUCUUAUAUUCUCAAAGAAGUUAGGGUUUAGAACUUUAUUUGGUAUCAGAGCUUGUGAGAAGAACGAUCCAACCCAACAUCAAACCAUGGGAGAUAUCGUCCCUGCUACGCGAGCAAAAGAAAUCAGUAUAUCAUCAAUUCAAUGUCCAAUGUUGAAUACGACUAAUUAUACUGUGUGGGCAAUGAGAAUGAGGGUCCUUCUCAAAGUUCACAAGGCCUGGGAGGUCAUCGAGACAGAAACAGCUGAAGGAGAUAAAAACGAUCUGGCUAUGGGACUCAUCUUUCAGUCCAUACCCGAGACAUUAGUCUUACAAGUUGGAGAACUCAACUCUGCGUAUAAGGUUUGGAACGCUAUUAAAGGACGACAUGUUGGAGCAGAGAGAGUCAGAGAAGCACGACUACAAACCUUAAUGGCAGAGUUCGAUCGUUUAAAGAUGAAGGAUUCAGAGACCAUUGAUGAUUUCAGUGGAAAGCUUUCGGAAAUUUGUUCGAAAUCAGCAGCACUAGGAACCAACAUCGAAGAGUCGAAACUAGUCAAAAAGUUCCACAAGAGCAUACCUCGGAAGAAAUAUAUACACAUCGUGGCAUCACCAGAACAGGUGCUUGACCUAAACACAACAAGUUUUGAGGAUAUUGUUGGGCGUUUAAAGGCAUAUAAAAAACGUAUAUACGAGGAAACCGAGGAAACUCAAGAAGAACAUAGCAAGUUGAUGUAUGCAAAUACAGAAACUCAGCAAAACCGGAGUCAGAAUAAUGAAAAUAGAAACAAAGGUCGAGGAGGACGUUUCUAUAACAGAGGAAGAGGACGCGGAAGAUCAAACGAGAGAUCGUAUGAACCAGGAGACUUAUCAAAGGUUGUUUGCUAUUGGUGUGACAAGACAGGACAUUAUGCAGCGAGUUGCCCGGAUCGUCUACUUAAACUCCAGGAAACACAAGAAAACGAAGCAGAGGAUGAUACACAAAAGGCGGAAUCCCUUCUAAUGCACGAAAUUGUGUAUCUUAAUGAAAAGAAUGUGAAACCAAAGGAGUUCGAGACACGAUCCGAUAGAGAGUGGUAUUUAGACAACGGUGCCAGUAACCACAUGCCAGGAAAUCGAACCUGGUUCACAAAAAUCAACGAGAUGAUCACAGGGAAAGUACGAUUCGGAGAUGAUUCACGUAUAGACAUCAAAGGGAAGGGUUCGAUCCUGUUCAUGACAAAAAACGGUGAUAAGAAGAUACUAGCCGAUGUCUAUUAUAUACCAGAUCUCAAAAGCAACAUAAUAAGCCUAGGACAGGCUACUGAAGCAGGAUGCGAUGUGAGGAUGAGAGAAGACUAUCUCACAUUACAUGAUCGAGAAGGGAACUUGCUGGUGAAAGCAAUACGAUCGAGGAAUAGAUUAUACAAAGUGGCGUUGGAGGUUGAGAACACUAAGUGUCUGCAGAUCAUGACAUCCAAAGACUCAAGGUGGCAUGCCCGUCUAGGACAUAUCAGCACCGAAACCAUCCAGUCUAUGGCAGCAAAGGAACUAGUUAUCGGAAUAACUAAUCCGCCGAAAGAAAAGGAUACCUGUGCAUCAUGUCUACUUGGGAAGCAAGUAAGGAAAUCCUUCCCAAAACAAGCAACAUAUCGAGCAACAUAAGUUUUAGAACUCAUUCAUGGCGAUCUCUGUGGACCAAUCUCGCCCCCAACAGCUGCAAAAAGGAAGUACAUAUUUGUCUUAAUCGAUGACUUCUCACGAUAUAUGUGGUCGGUAUUACUAAAGGAGAAGAGCGAAGCAUUUGAGAAGUUCAAAGCUUUCAAAACUGCAGUCGAACUAGAAGCUGGAACAAGUAUCAAGACAUUCAGAACUGACCGAGGAGGGAAGUUCAUGUCUCAGGAGUUCCAAACAUACUGUGAAGAACAAGGUAUCAACAGACACCUAACAGCACCAUACACGCCUCAGCAGAACGGCGUCGUCGAAAGGCGGAGUAGGACUCUCUUAGAGAUGACUAGAAGUAUGUUAAAACAUAUGAACAUGCCUAACUACUUGUGGGGAGAAGCGGUGAGACACUCAACGUAUCUCAUAAAUAGAGUCGAGACCAGAUCGUUGCAAAAUCAAACACCAUAUGAAGCUUUCAAAUGCAGAAAACCAAAUGUGGAGCACCUACGAGUAUUUGGCUGCGUGAGCUAUGCAAAGAUUGAGGGUCCGUAUCUAAAAAAGUUAGACGACAGAUCGCAGAUGUUAGUAUAUCUUGGAACAGAACCCGGAUCUAAAGCCUAUCGCCUUCUCAAACCUACAAAACGCAGGAUUGUAGUUAGCAGAGAUGUUGUGUUCGAUGAGAAUAAGAGUUGGAAGUGGAACAACUCAGAUGCAGAUUUCCAGAAUGAAACAGGGACGUUCACAAUUAACUUUGGAAGAAGUGAGAACAUGAGAACAGAAGAGGAAGAAUCUAUCGAAGAAACAGAAGAGAAUGAAGGAGACAAAAGUAAUGAUAGAGACGAGUUUAACGAAACAGAGAAUGCAGAGCAAGAAGAUGCACAACCGGCCUUGAGAAGGUCAACAAGAACUAUUGUAAAGCCUCGACAUCUGGAGGACUUCGUAAUGCUAGCAGAGAUGGAAGGAGAAUAUCUCCUGCUAGUAAUCAAUGAGGAACCAUGGGACUUUCAAGAGGCAAGCAAGAUAAAAGAGUGGAAAGAAGCCUGUAAUGAAGAGAUUUCAUCAAUAAACAAAAACAGAACAUGGAGUCUUGUUGAUCUUCCAAGCGGAUGCAAAGCAAUUGGUCUUAAAUGGGUAUUUAAGAUCAAACGAAACUCAGAUGGCAGCAUAAAUAAGUACAAAGCCAGACUAGUAGCAAAAGGCUAUGUACAGAAACAUGGUGUCGACUUCGACGAGGUAUUUGCUCCGGUAGCAAGAAUAGAAACGGUUAGGUUUAUUCUUGCACUAGCUGCUUCAAACGGAUGGGAAGUGCAUCACUUGGAUGUUAAAACCGCGUUCCUUCACGGAGAAUUGAAAGAAGAUGUCUACGUCACCCAGCCAGAAGGUUUUCAAAUCAUUGGAAGCGAGUAGAAGGUCUAUAAGUUACACAAAGCCCUCUAUGGACUUAGACAGGCACCACGGCAUGGAACACCAAACUCAACAAAAUUCUAAGUGAGUUAGGCUUCAAAAGGUGUUCAAAGGAACCUUCUCUCUAUCGUAAACAAGAUAAGGAGUAUCUUCUUCUAGUGGCUGUAUAUGUAGACGAUUUGCUGGUCACUGGUUCAAGCUUGGAUCUAAUUAUCAAUUUCAAAAGGAAUAUGGCAGGGAAAUUUGAGAUGAGUGAUCUAGGGAAGCUUACAUACUACCUAGGAAUCGAAGUUCUUCAAGAUAAGAAAGGGAUCAUACUGAAGCAAGAAAGAUAUGCAAAGAAAAUCUUGGAAGAAGCAGGAAUGAAUGAAUGCAACUCAUGUCACAUACCGAUGGACUCUGGCCUAAAACUCUGCAAGUUCCAAGAGCAAAAGCACAUUGACGAACAUGAGUACAGAAGGAAGAUUGGAUGUUUCAUAUGUCUCUUGCACACUAGACCAGAUUUGUCUUUUGCAGUUGGAGUAUUAAGCAGAUACAUGCAGGAACCGAGGGAAUCACAUGGAGCUGCACUAAAACAGGUGUUAAGGUAUCUACAAGGAACAUUGUCUCACGGUCUCUAUUUCAAACGUGGAGGAGAUAAAGGCUUGGUAGGCUACAGUGACAGCAGUCACAAUGUAGACAUGGAUGAUGGGAAGAGUACAGGAGGUCACAUAUUCUAUCUUAAUGGCUGCCCAAUCUCAUGGUGCACGCAGAAGCAGGAAGUUGUGGCAUUGUCCUCUUGUGAAGCAGAAUUUAUGGCGGCUACUGAGGCAGCUAAGCAAGCUAUAUGGCUUCAAGAAUUGUUUGCAGAAGUUAUCGGAACAAAGUGUGAAAGAGUGACAGUUCGCGUGGACAACAAAUCAGCAAUUGCUCUUUCAAAAAAUCCAGUGUUUCAUGGACGCAGCAAGCAUAUUCACCGCAGGUACCAUUUCAUACGUGAGUGUGUUGAGAAUGACCAGAUCGAGGUUGAGCAUGUCCCUGGAAGUGAACAAAAGGCCGACAUCUUGACCAAAGCUUUGGGAAGAAAUAAGUUCAAAGAGAUGAGGGAGCUUAUAGGAGUGCAAGGAGUGUCACAAGAAGAUUUCAAGCUUAGAGGGGAGAUUGUUGAACUAAGCUUGAACAAAGCUUGAGAAACAAGUUUCCUAAAAGGAUUAGGAAAUAUAAUAUAUUUAGGAGAUAUCUAAAUAUACCUUAGGAGUCAUCUAUAAGAAGUUUUCUAUUUCUAUAAGGUUUAGGAAUUUGUAAGUCUUCUCUUCUAUAUAUAUGAAGUUACCAAAGUGUGGUAGACUCAUGAGAUUAUAGAGAGAGCUUUGAGGCUUUAAGUUUUUGAGUGAGUUUUCUUAAAGCAAUAAAAGGUGUUUUGGCAAUCUUAUAUUCUCAAAGAAGUUAGAGUUUAGAACUUUAUUUGGUAUCAGAGCAAACCGAGGAAACUCAAGAAGAACAGAGCAAGUUGAUGUAUGCAAAUACAGAAACUCAGCAAAACCGGAGUCAGAAUAAUGAAAAUAGAAACAGAGGUCGAGGAGGACGUUUCUAUAACAGAGGAAGAGGACGCGGAAGAUCAAACGAGAGAUCGUAUGAACCAAGAGACUUAUCAAAGGUUGUUUGCUAUCGGUGUGACAAGACAGGACAUUAUGCAGCGAGUUGCCCGGAUCGUCUACUUAAACUCCAGGAAACACAAGAAAACGAAGCAGAGGAUGAUACACAAAAGGCGGAAUCCCUUCUAAUGCACGAAAUUGUGUAUCUUAACGAAAAGAAUGUGAAACCAAAGGAGUUCGAGACACGAUCCGAUAGAGAGUGGUAUUUAGACAACGGUGCCAGUAACCACAUAACAGGAAAUCGAACCUGGUUCACAAAAAUCAACGAGAUGAUCACAGGGAAAGUACGAUUCGGAGAUGAUUCACGUAUAGACAUCAAAGGGAAGGGUUCGAUCCUGUUCAUGACAAAAAACGGUGAUAAGAAGAUACUAGCCUAUGUCUAUUAUAUACCAGAUCUCAAAAGCAACAUAAUAAGCUUAGGACAGGCUACUGCAGCAGGAUGCGAUGUGAGGAUGAGAGAAGACUAUCUCACAUUACAUGAUCGAGAAGGGAACUUGCUGGUGAAAGCAAUACGAUCGAGGAAUAGAUUAUACAAAGUGGCGUUGGAGGUUGAGAACACUAAGUGUCUGCAGAUCAUGGCAUCCAAAGACUCAAGGUGGCAUGCCCGUCUAAGGCAUAUCAGCACCGAAACCAUCCAGUCUAUGGCAGCAAAGGAACUAGUUAUCGGAAUAACUAAUCCGCCGAAAGAAAAGGAUACCUGUACAUCAUGUCUACUUGGGAAGCAAGUAACAAAAUCCUUCCCAAAACAAGAAACAUAUCGAGCAACAAAAGUUUUAGAACUCAUUCAUGGCGAUCUCUGUGGACCAAUCUCGCCCCCAACAGCUGCAAAAAGGAAGUACAUAUUUGUCUUAAUCGAUGACUUCUCACGAUAUAUGUGGUCGGUAUUACUAAAGGAGAAGAGCGAAGCAUUUGAGAAGUUCAAAGCUUUCAAAACUGCAGUCGAACUAGAAGCUGGAACAAGUAUCAAGACAUUCAGAACUGACCGAGGAGGGGAGUUCAUGUCUCAGGAGUUCCAAACAUACUGUGAAGAACAAGGUAUCAACAGACACCUAACAGCACCAUACACGCCUCAGCAGAACGGCGUCGUCGAAAGGCGGAAUAGGACUCUCUUAGAGAUGACUAAAAGUAUGUUAAAGCAUAUGAACAUGCCUAACUACUUGUGGGGAGAAGCGGUGAGACACUCAACGUAUCUCAUAAAUAGAGUCGAGACCAGAUCGUUCCAAAAUCAAACACCAUAUGAAGCUUUCAAAUGCAGAAACCAAAUGUGGAGCACCUACGAGUAUUUGGCUGCGUGAGCUAUGCAAAGAUUGAGGGUCCGUAUCUAAAAAAGUUAGACGACAGAUCGCAGAUGUUAGUAUAUCUUGGAACAGAACCCGGAUCUAAAGCCUAUCGCCUUCUCAAACCUACAAAACGCAGGAUUGUAGUUAGCAGAGAUGUUGUGUUCGAUGAGAAUAAGAGUUGGAAGUGGAACAACUCAGAUGCAGAUUUCCAGAAUGAAACAGGGACGUUCACAAUUAACUUUGGAAGAAGUGAGAACAUGAGAACAGAAGAGGAAGAAUCUAUCGAAGAAACAGAAGAGAAUGAAGGAGACAACAGUAAUGAUAGAGACGAGUUUAACGAAACAGAGAAUGCAGAGCAAGAAGAUGCACAACCGGCCUUGAGAAGGUCAACAAGAACUAUUGUAAAGCCUCGACAUCUGGAGGACUUCGUAAUGCUAGCAGAGAUGGAAGGAGAAUAUCUCCUGCUAGUAAUCAAUGAGGAACCAUGGGACUUUCAAGAGGCAAGCAAGAUAAAAGAGUGGAAAGAAGCCUGUAAUGAAGAGAUUUCAUCAAUAAACAAAAACAGAACAUGGAGUCUUGUUGAUCUUCCAAGCGGAUGCAAAGCAAUUGGUCUUAAAUGGGUAUUUAAGAUCAAACGAAACUCAGAUGGCAGCAUAAAUAAGUACAAAGCCAGACUAGUAGCAAAAGGCUAUGUACAGAAACAUGGUGUCGACUUCGACGAGGUAUUUGCUCCGGUAGCAAGAAUAGAAACGGUUAGGUUUAUUCUUGCACUAGCUGCUUCAAACGGAUGGGAAGUGCAUCACUUGGAUGUUAAAAUCGCGUUCCUUCACGGCGAAUUGAAAGAAGAUGUCUACGUCACCCAGCCAGAAGGUUUUCAAAUCAUUGGAAGCGAGUAGAAGGUCUAUAAGUUACACAAAGCCCUCUAUGGACUUAGACAGGCACCACGGGCAUGGAACACCAAACUCAACAAAAUUCUAAGUGAGUUAGGCUUCAAAAGGUGUUCAAAGGAACCUUCUCUCUAUCGUAAACAAGAUAAGGAGUAUCUUCUUCUAGUGGCUGUAUAUGUAGACGAUUUGCUGGUCACUGGUUCAAGCUUGGAUCUAAUUCUCAAUUUCAAAAGGAAUAUGGCAGGGAAAUUUGAGAUGAGUGAUCUAGGGAAGCUUACAUACUACCUAGGAAUCGAAGUUCUUCAAGAUAAGAAAGGGAUCAUACUGAAGCAAGAAAGAUAUGCAAAGAAAAUCUUGGAAGAAGCAGGAAUGAAUGAAUGCAACUCAUGUCACAUACCGAUGGACUCUGGCCUAAAACUCUGCAAGUCCCAAGAGCAAAAGCACAUUGACGAACAUGAGUACAGAAGGAAGAUUGGAUGUUUCAUAUAUCUCUUGCACACUAGACCAGAUUUGUCUUUUGCAGUUGGAGUAUUAAGUAGAUACAUGCAGGAACCGAGGGAAUCACAUGGAGCUGCACUAAAACAGGUGUUAAGGUAUCUACAAGGAACAUUGUCUCACGGUCUCUAUUUCAAACGUGGAGGAGAUAAAGGCUUGGUAGGCUACAGUGACAGCAGUCACAAUGUAGACAUGGAUGAUGGGAAGAGUACAGGAGGUCACAUAUUCUAUCUUAAUGGCUGCCCAAUCUCAUGGUGCACGCAGAAGCAGGAAGUUGUGGCAUUGUCCUCUUGUGAAGCAGAAUUUAUGGCGGCUACUGAGGCAGCUAAGCAAGCUAUAUGGCUUCAAGAAUUGUUUGCAGAAGUUAUCGGAACAAAGUGUGAAAGAGUGACAGUUCGCGUGGACAACAAAUCAGCAAUUGCUCUUUCAAAAAAUCCAGUGUUUCAUGGACGCAGCAAGCAUAUUCACCGCAGGUACCAUUUCAUACGUGAGUGUGAUGAGAAUGACCAGAUCGAGGUUGAGCAUGUCCCUGGAAGUGAACAAAAGGCCGACAUCUUGACCAAAGCUUUGGGAAGAAAUAAGUUCAAAGAGAUGAGGGAGCUUAUAGGAGUGCAAGGAGUGUCACAAGAAGAUUUCAAGCUUAGAGGGGAGAUUGUUGAACUAAGCUUGAACAAAGCUUGAGAAACAAGUUUCCUAAAAGGAUUAGGAAAAUUUAAUAUAUUUAGGAGAUAUCUAAAUAUACCUUAGGAGUCAUCUAUAAGAAGUUUUCUAUUUCUAUAAGGUUUAGGAAUUUGUAAGUCUUCUCUUCUAUAUAUAUGAAGUUACCAAAGUGUGGUAGACUCAUGAGAUUAUAGAGAGAGCUUUGAGGCUUUAAGUUUUUGAGUGAGUUUUCUUAAAGCAAUAAAAGGUGUUUUGGCAAUCUUAUAUUCUCAAAGAAGUUAGGGUUUAGAACUUUAUCCUUCUCUAUCAUCUUUUACUAUCAUAUUGUGGAGUAUGAUACAAGCUCUUAUAAUCUUUCCGAUUUUUUCUUUAUCCCAAAACAAAGCCGGAUUUUUGACAAUGGCAAAUCGAGAUUGCAAGACUCCAAAAGCACGCUCGACAUCUUUUCGAUAACCUUCUUGACGUUCAGCAAAUAAACAUGCUUUUUCGCCUUGUGGUAGUGGAAUAGAUUGGAAAAAAGCUGCCCAUUUUGGAUAUAUACCAUCAGUUAGAUAGUAUGCCAGAUGAUACUCCUUUCAAUUGACAAAGAAAUUAACUUUCGGAGCUCGACCUUUUAUAAUGUCAUCAAAAACGGGUGAGCGAUCCAAAACAUUAAGAUCAUUAAGGGUACUUGGCGGUCCAAAAAACGCAUGCCAAAUCCAGAGAUCGUAUGAAGCAACCGCUUCUAAGACUAUUGUCGGUUUUCCAGCACCUCGUACAUACUGGCCUUUCCAAGCGGUUGGACAAUUCUUUCAUUCCCAAUGCAUACAAUCUAUGCUUCCUAUCAUCCCAGGAAAUCCGCGUUCCUCUCCAAAAUAAAGUAGACGUUGAAGAUCUUCUGCCGUGGGUCUUCUGAGGUACUCAUCGCCAAAGAGAUUUAUAAUUCCUUCAACAAAAUUUUCCAGACAUGAACGAGCUGUACUUGCACCUAGUCGUAGGUAUUCGUCAACGGUAUCAAGUGCCGUGCCAUAAGCUAAGAGACGAAUUGCGGCUGUACACUUCUGAAGUGCAGAUAGACCAAGUCUACCCCGGGCAUCUUUUCUCUGUUUAAAGAAACUGACUUCGUUGGAGAGCCGAUGAACAAUACGCAAGAACAAUGCCUUGUUCAUUCUAAAACGUCGUCGGAAAAGGUGGUCGGGAUAAAUUGCGUUUUCGCUGAAGUAAUCAUUUCAUAAUCUUAUGUGGCCUUCUUCUCGAUUUCUUUCUAUAAAAGCUCGUUUCCCGAACAAGUAUUGUUUCCAUCUCCAUUUCCCUCUGCAUUUGCAUCCUCCGUCUUCCUCCUUUUACAGCUGCCAUCGGUUUUACUGGUUGACAAAUCACACCACUUUUGGUCGUUCUUCAGUUCCUUCCAAGCGUAUUCGAGAGUGAAUUUCUUCUUAUGGAGAUUGAAGAAAAUAGCAUGCGCAUUUUUGAAAAUGUCAUUCUCGUUUUGACCACUUGUUCUUUCUCUUGUUGCAGCCUCAUAAGCCCCACAGAACUUGCACACAAGAUCAUUAAUCUUGUGCCAUCUUUGUUUGCACUGCCCAGACUCUCGGAUUUCUCCUCCCUUUUGAUUCGCCGCAAAGUACAAAGCAAUGCGACGCCAAAAAGUGCCACUUUUGUUCAUUUCCUACAACCGGGUCCUUCGAGGUGUUCAACCACGAGCUGAUGAGCAGGGUAUCUUCCGCAGGACUCCACGGUUGUCUAAUCACCUUGCUCGUCACUCCAACCUCUUCUACUUCUUCGGUAGAAGCUUGGGUACCGAAGGCAUGGUUUUCGAAGGAAAGGUAUGGAUUUGGGUAAGGUGACACACUCUCUUGUUGACUUUGUAAAAGAUCAACAAAGUUUAAGGUGUUGUUAAAGGGAAAUGGAGAAGACAUCCUUGGACAAAAGAAGAGAAGACAAGAAGGAUUGCAACUGAUACGAGAAGAGAUGAAAGAAGAGAAAACUAUAUUUUUUGGAAGUGAUACGAGAAGAUAAGAAAGAAGAGAUGAGCUUAAAAAAGUGUCCGAGUUCAAAGAGAUGAGAAAGAGAGUGCUUUAUACUAGCAUGAAAGAAGAGGGAACAAAAGUGUCCGAGUUCAAAAAAUAAACAUUAACUACACCCUAAACACAAGCAUUCAACCCAACCUAACACAAUAUGCAUUGAUCACAAGCAGAAGAGACUUGACACAUAUCUAACUUUAACAUUAACUAAUCCCCUAUUCCAUUUAUUAUCUAACACGACUUAAACCCACAUCAAAAUAGCAUUUACUACAAGUAACUAGGAAGUGAUUGAAGCUAACCUUUUUAGGCGGGUGAUGAUAUCCUAAACCGCUUUGCUUCUUCUCUCCUCUUCAUGUCAUUCCAUCUCCAUUUACUCCUUGUGCAGAGAACAAAAACAACAGUAAAUAUGAGUUAGUUGAACAUCAACUAUACACACAAGAGUUAAUGAACUACAACUACACAAACAAGACAAGUAAUACACACUCAGAGUUAAUGAACUUCAACUACAAACCAAAGAAUAAACUUUAAACCCAUUCACAAACUCAUACAAACUCAUCGCCACAAUGAGCAAAACAAAAUUAUCGAUACUUAAAGAUCAAAACAAAGUCAUCUAUCAUUCGUCGAUCAAAACAAACUAAAAAUUGUACCCAAUCAUCGUAAACCCUAAACGAAAUCAGAAGACAAAAGACAAAACCAUUAAUCAGCCAAGACAAAUCAUUUGUCGAAACCAUUUCAUCCGAUCAUCAAAAACCUAAAUCAGCAUACAUAUCCAAGCACAACCAAUCAUCGCUACCUCUGAACCCUUUCAGUAAACCAUUUCAUCCGAGAUAUUCAAUCUAAACCCAAAAAUCAGAACAAUUUCAAUCGAUUCUUCGUUUACCUUCUCCAACGGUUCCAUGGAUCCAGAAGCUUCAAGCCUUCACAACUCCUCGAUUCCGCCAAUCAGCUGUUCAGAAGACAUCGCCGCCACCGUCUGAAAAUUGCUGACAAAGAAUUCCGAUGAAUUGACGACUUGCGAUUCGACGGAGAUAACGAAGAAAGAAGAGAGGAAAAUGGUUUUUGGGAGAUGAAAAAUUGUUUGAGGACCCAAAAAAAAAUUUCUCUUCUCCAUUUUUUUAGUCCAAUGAUUUUUCGCCAUGUGUGUGUAGAGAAAUGUUUCUCUCAGAUCCAAUUUAGGCGACGUCUCUCUCCCUUUUUAUUGUUUUUGAUUUAUUUAAUUAAGCGAAAUUAGGUAGAGACGGGUUAAAUACCCCAUUGCACAUGCUCUAAGAUAACACAUCUUUCUCCAAUACGGGUGGUUAGGAGAUUUUCCAAAGGAAAAAAUAAAUAAAAAUUGCUUACGAAAGACUUUGACUAUUCUAAUAUCCGACCAUAGAUUUUACGUGUGAAGACUUUGCUUAAACUUAUUUCAAGUCGACUAAAGUCCUAUCUUCUGCUCUUAUGUUCUUCGUUUGGCGCUUGUAGCUGUCAAUUUGUUAGCCAUGUUGGCUUUGUUAUUGUUUGUAAACAAUUCCUCCUCUAAUGGAGCGUAGCUAAUCUAUAAAAUCUCAUUUGAGCAAAAAAAAAAUUAAAAGGAAACCAAAGUCUAAGGUUACAGAAACUUGAAUUGGUGAAUUAGUGGAGAUGAUUAUGUAAUGAAAUCCUAAACGAUUAUUGUGUUGUGCCCAUUCUAUUUCUUCGUUAGUCUCUCUGAAGUAGAAGAACAUACCUUCGAUUAAGACAUUGCCUGUUUAUGAUUUCACUUGGAUUCAUGUUUCUUUUUUAGCACUCUAUUGAGGAUUUCUUAUGUGCUACUUGGAACAAGUAUAGGUUUUAAUUCUUUAAGUUGCUCAUUAAUGGAAUUUUAGUGAGUGUAGAGAUUUUGAGUUCACUAAUUCGUAAAAGAAACGCUUGACAAAAGUGAGGAAGACGGAUUCGUAAAAGAAAAAGAUUGAGUUUGCCACAAACUACUCCACAAGAUUGAUCCCUAUAGCUAAUUCAAAUAGUAUUUGGAGACAAACUAUGUGUAAGACCGCGAAAAUCCGAUUGAAAUCACGAAUAGAAAAUAGCAAUAUUAUAAACGAUAUGUUAAGGUAAGAGAUUAAAACGAGAGUUAGAAAACCGAUUGAAAACAGACGAAAACACGGAGUCGAGAUAUGAUCUCUUUCCUUAACUCAAUAAAUCGCCCGUAAUGUGUGACGGUUUAUUGCGAUUUUUGAAUCCCAGGAUACAACCGUGAUGAGACUAUUACGCAACACCCGUAAAAGAAUCUGCGAACUGAAAUUAUACUACGCUAUAGCUCUCGAGACACUUACGAUAUUAAGACGAGAGGGUUGCUGGAAAGAAUUAUUUGCUGUGUGUUUGGAGUAUUCGAGAAUUCGAUUAUAAUUCGAUGAUCUAGAAUGAGAGAAGAUGGCGUCUAUUUAUACUGGAAGGUUCAGCUUGAUCCGCAAGGAAUAAGCUUUGGCGAAAAGGAAUAUUCACAAAAUAUUCUCCUUUUUCUGCAAGUAAAAGGAUUCGGAAAUCUUCCGUUAUUAUCUGGACGCAAUCUUUUAUUUCUUAAGAUUUAUCCUUUCAAUAUGCAAAAAAAUAUUUCGCAGGAACUAAGAUGCCCACGACCCACACCCAGCUAAAUAGAGCCCAAGAGCCAACUAAAAAAUGCAAUGAGCAACGAGCAACGAGCCCGGCACCGGCAACGGCGGCGGCGCGCGUAGGUGUUUUUGCAUAAUGCCCUUUUACUUCCACAAUGAUGCUGACCCUUAUUGUGAGAAAACCAUAUAUAUACAAGAGAUUUUUCUCCUUGGUGAGCAAUGUGGGACAAAUACACUUCCACUAAACUUCUACUUUUAGUUAAAAUUAAUAGGAAUAUUUCAUUUCUAUAGGCUCAAACCCAAAUCUUAAAUGAAUUUAUAAGGCCCAUUUGCUUAUUAAACUUCAUUUCUUAUUCAUACACAAACUCAAUAUUACAAGUCCAAAUGCUUAUCUAUAUUAGUAUUUGUGAAGUGAUUCGGGCUGUGAUUUAACGCACAGAUUUCUGUGUCGUUUUGAUUAAUGAAAUUAUGAGGAUUUGAUUGGUUGAUAAUUGUUAUAAUUUGAUUGGUUGAAUUAGUUAAUUUUAAAUCAUUAAAAUCGAUAUUAGUUGCUAAAAAAUGGAAAACUUCUUUAAUUCAAGUAGGAUUUGAUUGGUUGAUAAUUGUUAUAAUUUGAUUGGUUGAAUUAGUUAACUUUAAAUCAUUAAAAUCGAUAUUAGUUGCUAAAAAAUGGAAAACUUCUUUAAUCAAAUCCUCAAAAAAAUUUCAAACCCAAAAAACAUAUACAUACCUUCCAAUACGUCAUUUGUGCUGAUUGAGAUGGUAGUGUGUUGGUUAAGUGCUUUGUCCAUUUAUCGAAGGUUCACGGGUUCGAAUCCUGUAAUUAGUGUUUUUUUUUUUAAUUCUAUUUUUGGAAAUAUUUUAUAUUUAUUAAAUAUUUUGUAAAAGGGAAUAUUCCAUAAUUUCUUUGUUAUUAUCUACAAUGGAAUCUUUACAUUUUUAUUAUAGAUAGCUACGAAAUUCAUGGGAAGAUAAUAUCGCAUGUAGAUCAAUAAUUACAUUUUAGUAUUUUUCACAAGAAAAUAAACCCUAGGUUGUUUAGACGUAUAAAUAUGAGCGUUUUCAACCAAGCUUCUCAUAAUUAACGCAUUAGUUUUUCUAUUAGGGUUCUGUGAUUAUUUUGCUAGGUUUUUUAUUAUAGCAUUAACUUUUUGGAUCUCUUUAGAAAAGAUUCAGCAUGUUUGUCUAUUUGCAUGCAAAGCUAACAAUGUGUUCCUCUAAGUACAGCUUUGAUCAUCCAUCUAAAGUCAGAAUCACUUGGGAAGUUCCGUCUACCGAUUCUGGUAUAUAUGUAUAACUAUUAUCAAAUUUAAUAAUAGUAUGUAUGCUCUCAAUUUUUUUAGAUGAAUUCUAAAAAUUUAUACGACUAUAGGUUUUGAUAACCAGGCUUAUGCUCGCGGGUUAAAGUCUGUGUUGAAAUCGCAUCGUCAGAAUAUGGAUAACAAAGACAUGACUGAUUAUCGUUACGUGACUCCAUAUGUUUUCGUGGAUAUCACCAAAAAAAAAGGUUGUUGAACCUCUUUAGUUUAUUCAUUCAAUUUAUAAUACUUAUUAGUAGUUGUUUGUAUUUGUAGGUUAUCCAUGCAAGCUACUUAUCGAUUCUGCUAUCGAUGAAUGGACCUUGCGGACAUAUAAUCCUGUUAUCGAAGGUAGUCCUAUCUAUUAAUCUUACAGUUUUUACCUUUUGUAAUGCUAUAUCUUAGCCUUUCAGAUGCAUACCCUUAUUAUAUAUUAGUCUAUGAACGUUUUCAAUUUUUAUGUAGAUAUUGAUUCUUCGUAUCAUAUAUCUAUUCUUGAUCACGAGCUUUUUAUCAAAGGAGGUAUUUCCGCUCUUAAUGUAAUAUAUUUUUGUUAAUGGUGUAUAUUAAGUCUUUAUGUUUGCUCUAAUGUUUGUUUUGUGUAUUUAGUUUCUGAUCGUGUUAAUACGAGUGAUCAUGCUCAGAAGACUUUUCUAUGGGAUUUUGCGAGGAAUGCUUGGGUUAUGAAUAAAGAAUCUAAUGGUUUCAAUUCUUUUUUUUUGUUUUGAACACUGUUUUUUAUGUUUUUUUAGAAUACUAAUUACAUCGUUUUUACAUAUAUUUAUCUAUGCAGAAGAUAGUGACUCUGAUGAUACUGAGGUUUCAUCGGGUCGUGGUAUUGAUGAUGAUUAUGGUUUUGAGGAUUAUAUGAGGUCUGAUUCAGAGACGGGUGAAGAUACUGAUGAUAUGGACCCAACAGAUGAGUAUGAUUCUGAGGAUGAUUUUAUUGACGAUGAUGAGACUUGUGAAGAAUCUGAUGGUUCAAGUGAUAGCUCAGAAGAUGAUAGCGGUGAUGACGAAGAUGAAGAUGACGACGAUGCCGAUUCAACUGAUGAUAAUGAAAAUGAUGAUGAAGAUGUUAUGUUGGAUGAUGAGACUGAUAUUGACGAUGAUAGUGAAGAUCAGCGAAACGUCGAACUGAGUGAUAUACUCAUCGAAAAGAAUAUUAGUAUAUCUGGACACCAGGAUUCGGUGUGUACUUAUACAGUUUCUCUUGGUUCAAUGUGUUUUGGUAAGUGUGUUUCACGUUUGAGUCCUUCCAAAGAUGAUUGUACUAUCUUUGUUAAGGUUUUACAAACGUGGGUGCAUAUGCUAAUUUCGAAACGUUCUUCUAUGGAGCUCAUAUUGUCAGAUGAACAGGUAUUUAUUGUACUAUUACACAAAAGUAUUAUAAAUUUUAGUCGGUGUCUAAUUGACUGUUUUAUUCACAGGGUGUAAAAAUUCAGGCCACUGUUAGUGAUGGUGAGAUCAGUGUUGCAUCGUCUCGCAUAGAUGUUGGUAGUUGGAUUAUUAUCAGUCGUUUUUCUGUUACUGAUUGUGAGGAUAGUUGUAGACCGACUUCUCAUAGAUACAAAAUAUUGUUCCUACCAUCAACUAUCAUUGACAAGACUUCACGUAGAUGUGAAAAUGCCUAUUUUGACUUCGUUGAUUUUCAAAGGAUAUUGGAUCGUUCCCAUGAUGAUGACUAUUUAGUUGGUGUGUUUAUUUUUGAUUUAGUUAUUGAAUUUCUUUAUUGUUAUCUUACUGAUGCUAACAUUGUUUAAUUUUUGUUGUCUAUGAAGAUUUGAUAGGUCGUGUCUUAAAUGUAAGACUAUCUGGAACGUCCCGUGGUUUACUGACUGGAGAGCAUUCUUUUCAUUCAUAUGGCAGUCUAUGUAAUGAUAUAUGUGAUUCCGAGAUAUGGGGUUCAUAUUCAACCGUCACGUUCUGUCUUAGAGAUAAACGGUAUUGUCUGCUGAAUGUUUUAAACUGUAUAAUGUCGUUUUAAUUAUUCUAUCCAUCUGAAUAUGUGUGGCAUGUUUUAAUUUAGUGGUGUUGAUUUGAGUUGUGAAUUGUUCGGUGAGAUGGCGAAAAACUUUUAUGCAUCUUGGAGACGAUGUGAUCAAGAUAUCAUUGUGUGUGUGCUUAGAUGGGCUGUUAUUGAUUAUUUUGGAGGUAUUUUUAGUAUACUAAUUUAUAUUCUCUAUGUUCGUUUCAUUUUAUUGUUUUGACUCUGUAUUUGGUUUAUCAAUAUAGGCAAGAUCACUAUAUCUUCCACAUCUCCUACUAAGUUCGAACUCAAUCCCCAUAUUCCUGAGUUAGAUGAGUUUUUGGAACAGUGAGUUUCUAAUACUUAAUGUUUGUAUUUUGACUUUUUGGUAUUAAUUUGUGGUCGCCUUCUCUCUCUCUCAAGUCUUUUUUAUAACAAUGCAGAUAUCCGCGUAAGAGGCCAUGCACGCGUGGUAGUGUGGCACGUCUACAAUGAAUAAUGUUAUGACGUCUACAUUGAAUAUCAUUUUUACCAUGUAUACAAAUUAUAGUUUAAUUAUUCUUUGUUCUUCAGACCUCUUUAUUUCAAUCAAUAAAUAUAUUUUUUUAAUGAAAUUAUUAUUGUUGUUUGAUAUUGAAGUAUAUAGAGCGGAGAAAAUAAUAUAAGUUAUAUAUUCACAUAAAUAACGCAUGCUUUUAUUGGUUUCUUGGACUCCAAGUAACUCAUAUUUAUAAAUAUUUAAGAAGAUUUGAAUAUAUCCCCGAUCAUAUCAUAACUUUUAGUUUUUUCCAUUUAGUGUUUAUGAGAAUCAUGGUGUUUGAAUGGAUUGUUUUAUUGAUUUCUUGGACUCCAAGUAAUUUAUAUUUAUAAAUAUCUAAUAGGAUUCGAAUAUAUCCCCGAUCAUUCCACAAUUUUUGUUUUUUUUUUCAUUUAGUAGCUAUGGAAAUCUUGGUGUUUGAAUGAAUUGAUUAAUUAGUUAUUAAAAAGGAAAAACUCGGUAGUUGAGAUGUUAGUUAUUAAAAAGGAAAAACUCGGUAGUUGAGAGGUGUGUAUAAAAUGUAAAUAAAGGAAAACAUUCUAAGAAACCCUAGAAAAAAAAUAAAUAACGCGUAAACCACAUAACUCUUAUAUCUCUAUAUAUAUGCAUAUAUUUCGGUAUAGGUAUAUAUAUGCGUCUAUCGCGACUUCACGGGUUAUCAGCCUGCAUUGUUAGAAUUGUUUGCAUUCGGGUUCUUCGAUGAAAGCGUUUGGUAAAUGAGUUUUGUAUUACGUUUUUGAGGAUGUCACUAAUCGUUAAUUUUCUUUACGGUAUUUUAUUAAUUGUUCUUAUUGUAUAUAUGAUUGUUGUUCUAUUGUACAUGUCUAGGUGCUCACAAGCGACCACGUGUUAAUUGGCAAGUUAUGCCGUUUCAUCUCCCGGGGGAAAAUAUUGUGUUUUCUAAUAAUUUAGAUAGACGUGUUCCUGCUAAAAAACCUAAAUUCCUUGCUUGGUUUAGGUGUAAUCAGUCUUAUCCAGAGGCAAUGAAUCUUUUAUACUCGGAGAUUCCUUCUACGUUUGUAUGGGAUCGUAAAAAUAGGACAUGGAGGCCAAGACUAAAAGGAAAUUCUGGUGCUUGUGUUGUGGACGAAUCACCGACUGAGUAUGGAGAAGAGUAUUAUCUGAGACUAUUAUUGGACAUAGUUAGGGGUCCAUGUAGUUUUGAUGAUAUUAGGACUGUUGGUGGAGUCGUUUAUCCUUCGUUUAGAAGUGCAUACCAUGCAUUAGGGUUUGUUGGUUGAUUAUCAGAAGUCAGUAAUUUUUUACCAUGUUUUUUUUUUAGUUUCUUUAUCGUGGUAUACUUAUCUCUUAUUUUAGCAAAAGCAAUAUAUAAUAAAUGAUAUUAGAAUAAUUAUAUAUAUCAGUUUUGUUAUAAUAAUAAAGUUUAAUUAUAACAUAUUAUUAUUCCGCUUAGGGUUUAGGGUUUAGCCGUGCGGAAUAAUAAUAAAGCUUACACAGAACAUGCGACUUAUAUCUGGAGAUAAUAGCCGUGCGAUGCUUGAACGAGCUGCCUUUACAAAGUGGAUCUUAGACAUUGGUGAUGGUACGAUAAAUGACGAUGGUAGUGGUGAAGCUGUGAUUGAAAUUCCUGAUGAUCUGUUGAUUAAAGACUGUAAAGAUCCUAUAAAAACGAUCGUCAAAGAAGUUUAUGGGAGUUCAUUUUCGAAAAAGACUGAUCCUAAAUUUUUCCAAGACCGUGCCAUACUGAGUCAAAGAAACGAUGAUGUAGAUACGAUAAAUGAUUAUAUGCUUUCAAAGUUAUCGGGUAUGUUUAUUUUGUUUUAAUUCCUCUUAGUUUAUUUUUUUAUAUUUAUAUAAUACGACGGUUGUUUUGUAUAUAACAGGUGUUGAAAGGACCUAUCUUAGCUGUGAUAGCAUUGAUACAACUGAAGAAGUUGUCAAUUACAAUGAUGCAUCUGAAGUACCCUCAGAGAGUGUAGCCAGUAAGAAUAAAGGUGAUUCCAACAACAUGAUUUAUACCGAGGAGUUUUUAAAUAGUAUCAAGAUGUCUGGUUUCCCUAAUCAUGUCCUGAAGUUGAAAGAGGGUACUCCUGUAAUGCUUCUAAGAAAUAUCGACCCUAAGAAUGGGUUGUGUAAUGGCACAAGACUCAUCAUUAUUAAGAUGGCUAAUUAUGUUCUCCAGGCUCAGAUAAUAACAGGUAGCAAGGUUGGUGAAAAGGUACUGAUUCCUAGGAUAUUCCUCUCUCCUUCGGAGAUGAAACUUCCUUUCAGGAUGAGACGCAAGCAGUUUCCUAUCACAUUAGCUUUUGCAAUGACUAUAAACAAAAGCCAAGGACAGACACUCGAAAAGGUUGGUUUGUAUCUUCCAAGACCGGUUUUUACUCAUGGGCAACUCUAUGUCGCUGUAUCGAGGGUUACAUCAAGAGAAGGUCUGAAGAUAUUGAUCACCGAUAAAGACAACAAACCACAAAACAAAACAUUGAAUGUCGUCUACAAGGAGGUUUUUGACAAGAUAUGAUAUUUCUUUUUACUGUGUUUUGUUUUGUGAUAUGUUGUCUCUAUGUAUCUCGAAAUAUGUUAGUUCUUUUUAUUGUAUAAGACCAUUACAUUCGGUUUUAUAGUUUUUAAUAGAUUUUACUUUUUUCGAUUUUUCACUAAAUUGGAUCUCAUGUAUUAAUGGUUUGAUCUCUGAUUUUUAACUAUAGUCGGAUAAUCCAGUGACAAACUCUAUUCGAUAACAUAUUUUGACCAAAGUUUAAUUGUAGUAUAUUAUUGGGCAUCUAUUAACAUUUCAUCGAGAAUGCUUCAAAACCAAAUUAUCAUGUCAUCGAAAUAAACUUAAUAUUUUUUAGAAAAUAAAACCAAGUACAUAAUAGUGUCUUUAAAGUGAUCAUUACAAACAGAAAAAAAAAAACAUGAAUUUCGUUUCAAACUGAUAUUCUUCUUGAUUAAACUCCAGAUCUCCUCUUUUUUCGUUCCUUCUCCUUUCCCUUUAAACACAGACACAAACAAUCCGAUUUAGAUUUUUGUAAAACUAUAUAGCUUUGAACUAACUCAAUAUUAUAUCUAAAUAUGGAUUGUUUCUACAAUAUAGAUUUCAAUGGGCAAUCAAUAACAAACUAUAACGACUCAAUAACAUAGAUUUUAGACAAUUUUUCAUAAUUUAGAUCUAAAUAUAUUUCUGAUCACGUACCCAUUCGGCGGUAUCCAUGUGUCGAAUUUCUGUCUCCACAAAACCGCAACGCAUGCACUUCAACCCUAUCUCCAGAUCUAGAAUCAGGUCGUGUUUUCGUUUUGUGCAACUUGAUUGGGGUGUCUCAUUAGAUGUGUUGCCUUUGUCAUCCUCCAUAAGUUGUAGAAUAUACAGAUUUUAUUAUUCAUUGUGUAAGACAUGAUUAAAACAAACUUUAGUGAAUAGGAUGUAUUACCUGAGGAAUGUUCUGUUUGCCUUUCUGAUUUGAUGCGGUGAAUAAGUGUAUUUGUUCCCAUAAUUCUUCUUGCUCUAUCUCGGAAUCUGUUGGUGAAGGUGGUGAGUUUGGUUCCACGACACCAAAUCUCAUUACCAAUGGUGGGGGAUUGAUGAUCAACAAGCCAUUUUCAUCAAAUUUUUUUUCGUUUGUGUUCGCCAUCUUCUUAUGAAUUCUCUCAGAAACGAUAAUGGUACUUGAAAAAUAUUUUAAAGUUUUUUGAAAAAAAAACCAUCAAGUCAGUAUUUAUAAGGUGUGCAAUAAUAAUCAAUUUUCACGUUUUUCAAUUUUUUUAUGGGGAAGAUUAUGCGACUUUAUGUUUGCAACUAACUGUUUGACUUUCCAAGUUUCCUAUUUCAUAUAAUUUUAAGGAAAAAUGUUCAAUUAGAUACAUAAAGUUAUAACGUAAAAGUCUACAUAAAUGGCAUUUUUUGUUACGAUGUUGUAUGAAUAUGUCAUCUCCUAAAAUAUUGAAACAUAAAAUUGUCCAAAUAACAUAAGCCAUAGAGAGAGAUCAUAUUAUUUUAUGGAAAGUGUUGCAAUUUAGCAAAAGUUUAUAUUUAGUAAAAUAGUAUAUUUAAUUAUUGAGAUUGCGUGUAUAUUUGGUAAAACUUAAAACAUGGAAUAUAUUCUCUUACCAGGCACGUGAAACGAACAAAUCGGUCAAUCAAUAUGGAAGUGCCUUGACAUAAAUUAGUGGAUUGUUGUUGGUUUUGACAGUAAAGUGGCUUUAAAUGGUAACUGUUCAAAUUUUUUCUUUUAAAAUAAUUCAAACGAAAAUAAAUUUCUAAGAAAGAAAGAUAAUUCAGACAAAACCACAUCGGGCAAAGUAAGAUAAUUAUUUUGACAUUAACCCUACUCCCUUAAUAUAGUUUUUUGUGAUACUAUAUUGUUUACAUAUAUGCUUAAAUAUUAAUUUCAGGCUUGGGUGAAGAUAUGAAACGAUGUGCAUGAUUAUGAUUUAGCUAAUGUAAAUUUUCAUUGCAAUAAAUUGUCAUUUAACAUAUAUAGAUGGUUUUAUAGUAAACUAUCUUUAUAAUUGUUAACAACGAGAAUUGGAAUAUUAACAUAAUUUAAAAUAGAAAAAUCUCAAUAUAUAUAUAUAUAUCUAUUUAUUUUACUCGAAGAUAAUAUUGUUUAUUUAUCUAUAUUUAUCCUGAAAUGUUAAUAUUCUUAAAUUUUGGUUAUAUAUUAAUAUAAAAUCACAUUUUUUCUUAUAAAUAUGCUCUAAAUUGCAUAACCCUAAACGAUAGGCAUCACGCAAUGGCGGAUUAUGAUUUUGUUCGUCAAUUGGACUCUCAAAUGUCUGACUGGAUAAUUAUAGUGAAAAUACUCAAAAAAUGGGUGGUGGAUUACUCGGACGAUAAUCGAAGUCUAAAUUUCAUUCUGGUCGAUGAAAAAGUAAAUUUCAUUAACUUAACAUGUUAUUUGUGAUAAUUAUUAUUGAUUUUGCUUAUUGUUUUAACAUACAAUAAUUUGUUCUUUUGUUGAUCUAAUGUUAUCGUAUAAACUUCUAGGGUUGUAGAAUACAGGCUCGGGUAAACAAUCAGAUGAUGGAGCAUUUCAAUCAAAUAUGCGAAGAAGAUCAAUGGUUUAUGUUGACUGGAUUUCUUUUAAAUCCUUACAACUGGACUAAUAUCCAAAGUAUUACAAAACACGAUUACGUUAUUACACUUACACGGGGAACAACGAUAUCACCAGCUUUACCAUUAACAAAUAAUUCGUUCUAUAAUUUUGCAUCGUUCCUCUCGAUUUAUGAAUUCCCAGAUGCUCAUUAUUAUCUAAUUGGUAAGAUUAUUUUGGUAUCUUCUUAUAAUGCAAAAUAUAUAGUUCGCACUAAUGUCUUAAUUUUGACUAAUUACAAUCGCAGAUUUGAUUGGAGUCGUUGAAGAUGCUAGAUAUUUUACUAUUACAUACCCGGAUGGGACGACUACAUCAUCAAUUCGAUUUAAUAUAAUAGAUGAUGAGUAAGUAUAUCCCAAACUGUAAAUUUUUGAAGUUUAGCUAAUUAAUUAUUAACUACAUUCUUUGUCAAAAUAUAGGGAGUACAUGCUAGAGUGUGUUGCACAUGGUGAGUUGGCAACUGAAAUAAGAGAUAAGUGUAGAGAAUACGAAGGUCCCUUUGCUAUAUGUGUGUCAACCGAUUGGUGUGUAGCAAUUGACGGGGGUAUGUUCUCUGAUGAUACAUCAAUAUGUUAUUUAUAAAAUCGUUGUAUAUAACAUAACAAUAUUCCAAUAUAUAUGUUUUAGAGAAUGUGUCUAUCAAGGAUCAUGAUGAUGAUGGUGUGUCCCGUUUUAUCACUGAUUCACCUAUUAAUGAGGUUUUGACCUUGCGCAAUAGGUAAGUAUAUUUCGAUGUGUUGUUUAAAUUGACGUAUGAAAAAAAAAAUGUAUAUUUAGAUCUAAAUCGUUUUGUUAUUGAAAUUUCAGGAUUAGAGAGAGGUUAUAUGGGCUGGAUACAGAUGUGUCUAAUUAUUUGGGCCGAUCCGAAUGAUUCAAAAUCGAUAAUCCAUAUAUAUUAUUAGUUUUGUUAGACACUUUUUUUUUGUAUUUACAAGACUGUUUGGGUUUAGGGUUUAGUGUUAUAACCAAAUUUCUAAUUUUCCUUUAACAAAUAAAUUUUGUUAACCAAUAAUCUAUCUAGAAUAUUCAUCAUAAGUUGCAACUUUCCAAAAAUGGAACAUUUAUCUUUUGAAGAAUACAUAAAAUGAACUGAUUCACGCGACACUUUCCAUAACCGUUAUUUGGGUGUUAUAUAUAUCCCCAUUUUCUCAUAUACAUUGUUAAAAAUAAUCAACAAAGUAACCCUUCUCCCCAACUGUUUCUUUGGCUUUAUACAAAUAUUGUCCAGUAAAAUUAUGUUCCCUAGCUUGAUGUAAUGAUUGUAUACUGAAGAAACUAUUGUAUUUUUUGAUUGUUUUUUACUCGGUAUGCUCGCUUAUCUCGGUUGCGUGUAUGCUUAGUAUAUCAGAUGCAAUUAGAUUUUAUUCUCUCAUAUUGCAUGCUGCUAAUGUCUCGAAAAAGUACAUUAACGGAUGAAAGGACGCCUUUGACAGACAGUUGUUGGCAUUUAAAAUAAAACCUAUAAAUAAGUUAAUCUUUAUUUUAAUAAUACAUAUUCAAUGUUGUAUGUUUCCAUAAAUUUAUUGGGUUGAAAAAGGAAAUAACUGUCUAGAAUGUAACGCGUAUAUAUAUAUGUGUUCUCUUUCCUUAUUUUUUUUUACUUUCCUUUUGUGUUCUUGAUAGAGAAAAAAAAAUGUCUCAUGCUGUUGAUAUCUCUAGGUUAGAUUAUUACACCACCGGCGGUGAAGUUCGUGUGCAAGUUGUUCGACUCUGGAAGAAUGUGAAUUUCUUUGGUGAUACAAUUGAGAUGAUUCUCGCUGAUGAUCGGGUAUUUCGUUAUGUAGUUGUUAUUUCUUUAUAUAUUUCAUAGGGUUGUUUUUUAAAAGCAAUUUUUCUUUUGGAUUUUACACUUGAACUUAUGCGAAAUCGUCGAUCUUAGGGUCAUCGUAUCGGUGCAACUGUCAUGCCCGAUGAAAUCGCUCUGCAUGGACCUGUACUUAAACAAGGUUACUGGUUUAGGGUUCGUCGAUUCGUUGUUAAGAAGGCCAGUGGUUCGAUAUGCAUAACCGUAAACAGGCAUCGGUUUAUUUUCGGACCUCAUACGGUCGUGAUUCCUACCUCUCCAGUAACCCAUAAUUUACACUUGCAUCUCAAUUGCACACGCUUCUUUGACAUCGUGACUCGCGGAUUAGAUUUUGAGUUUUUAAUUGGUAAUAUUGGUAACCAUCUGUUAGUUUUGUGACAAUUUUAGUAUAAUGUAUCGUUUUGUUAAUAUUACUUUUUUUGUAUUCGAUAUGUAGAUGUAAUGGGAACCGUGUUGAAGAUGGGUGAUCUCUGUGAGAUAAACAGCGAUGCUUAUGAGGAUAAUGCAACAUAUGUUCGAUUCGAAAUUCUUAAUGCAGGGUAACAUCUAUGAGUUUAUAUCCACAUGUCGUUUGUUUUUGCAAAAAAAAAAAAAAAAAUGUUUCCUUUUGGUUUUAAGACAUCUAAACUGGAAGAACCUUUUUGUUCUGUUUUAAUCAAUUAGGAGAGAUUGUGUAUUGCCAUGUAUCGCCCGUGGGAAUUUGGCUAAGAAUCUGCAUAGUGUUUAUCAGCGUAAUCAAAGUGAAUCAGUGGUGUUUGUGCUGAGGUUUUGGAAGAUGACUAAUGGUCAAUGUAGGUUUUUAUUCCUUUUUUUAGUAUUUUAGAAUAGCUAAUCUUGCAUUCUUCUAAUUCUGAUUCGUAAAAUUAAUGAUAGGUGUUGAUAACAAGUCGGUUGUCCUAUGCUCUUACCCUCCUUGCUCUGAUUUCCUGUGUAAUCCUGUUGAUGACGAGAUUGACGAUUUCAGGGCUAAGUAAGUAUUAAAUUUAAUUUUUCUUUAUUGACAUAUUGUGUUAGUUGAUUUUUAGAUAUAUUGAUCUAACAUAUCGAUUUUUUUUUUUUGGUAGGCGACACCGUCUUAACUAAUGCACCAGCGAUGGAAUGUCAAUUCCUUAUCUUUCUUUUUAAUGUUUGUAAGACUAUUAUAUUAUGAUACUUAUUAAAUGAUAUCGGUUGUUGUUUAAUCUACUAUUUUGGUUUGACUCUAUGCAUACUGCAUUAUGUCUUAUUUAUAUUAUGAAUGUUAUGAAUGAUUAUGUCUUAUUUAUAUUAUGAAUUUUAUGAAUGAUAUCGUUACAUUAUCUUUAGUGUUUAGAAUAAAUUUGUAUAUCAAUGGUUUUGUAGUGUUUUGUCUUUUUUUGGUGAUGUAUGAUGAUUUGAAAAGUUGAUUUUUAAACUAUAGUCUACUCAAAGGGCUAAGUAUUCAUUGCGCUUUUGAAAAUAUAGCUGACAAGUUUCUGAUAGUUUUGAAUAGAUGGAUAUCUAUAGUUUUUUUAUUCUUAAUAAUGUUCUGAUUUGAUUCUAAAUCUGUUUGAUGUAAACGAUUUAUUAUGUUACAUUUAAAUUAUAUAUCAUCUGAGCCCAAAAUUUGUAUACAUCUUUUGGGCCAAAAAAUUUCUGUUGUAACCAAAAUUCGACCCUUCCUUUAACAAAUAUAUUGUGAUGGUCUUGGAUGGUCAAAAGGUUAGUCCUAUAAUUUAUGAAUAUCUCGGUUAUUGCCCUGAUCUAUUAAAUUUAUUAGUGAUUAAUAAUGUUUUCAAUAUCAAUCAUAUUGUUAAUGUGUUACCUUAAUAUUUUCUAAUUUUAUUACGUAUAAUAAUUCUUUCAUCUAAUUAAAGAGUUUUAAAAUUCAAAAUAACGAGAAAAAAGUCAAAUAGAAUUGUCAAACAAAAUAAAUGAAAACAUCAAAUGAAAUUGGUAGAUUCAAUGGCUAGGGAAAAUAGGUGAGUGAUCAAAAAAGUAGCCAUCUUCAAUGUUGUUAAAAUCAUCAGUGUAGUCAAGCCUGCAAGAACAAGAUAAAUAAUGAGUCGAAUAUUCAAUAAUUUUGUUUAGUAAAUUUACAAGAUGAUAACGGUGAACAAUGCUUACAUAAAAUGAGAAUUUUCGACUUCAGGAAUUGGAGGAUCGAACAAUAUUUCAGAGAAUUCUCGACCAGAACAAACACAUAUUUCAUCUGUACAAUAUAGAAAAUUAUAUUAGCUACAAUUGAUAUGAAUAUAAAUUGAUAUAUGGUUGGUCGAUAGAAUGAGAAAUAACCUCCAUAUCGACACAACUCCCAAAAUCUCAAUACACAGAAAACGAUUUUGCGACGAGGAGUAUUUUUCCAUAAGGACUCAAAAUGUUCAGCAUCUCUUCCCCACGCUAUGCAAUUGAUGUCGACACCCCUAAAAAACAGAAUUAAUAUAUCAUUUUCUUUAACAUCGAGAAUAUGAUAGUAAAGAUUUAUAUAUGUAUUAAUCUUUGUAUCAAUGGAUUCUUACUCAAAAUCUCUUAUUGUAAAUUUCAGAACACUUGAGUUGAUUCUCUGAUUUCCGAUGCAAAAUUGGUCUUGACGUUCCAAUUGACAAACUUUGAUAAUACCUCCGAUCAAAUCAACUAGCAUAAAGCAAUAUAUUCGUAUAAUUAAGUAGAGUAUUGAUUAAUCUAAUUGAGUAUAAUUAAAUACUAAGAAAACAUACCAACGUCUAUGUUUUCCAUCAGAGAUUCGUCAAGGACAUUUCUAAAAUUAGCAAAUGAAUACAACUGGUCAUCUGAUUUAGGCGAUGUCUUCUCAACAUGAGUAUCCUCAUCGAUACAGAUAUGGAGACCAUUGACUGUAAUCCUCGAAGUUCCUAUGUGUGGAGUAAUUUUGAAGUUACAAAUGAAAUACCAAUCUUUAUCACACAUCAUGCCUUCAUAAUGGUCUACUAAACGAUUCGGAAUCGAUGCACGUAUUCGAUCACCCUAGAUUUUCAGUUAAAAAAUAAUGAUGUUAUUGAUAAUAUAUCAAGAUUCAGACAGUAAUAUAUUAAGAUUCAGACAGUAUGUUAUUUUUGAAGUUAUACUUACAUGUUCGUCUGCGAAUAUAAACGAUCGCUGAAUACCGUGAACACCUAGGCUUUCCUCGACACUCUUGAUAACUUGAACACAGAUAGAAGAUCGAUCAGAUGCUAUACCUAAAGCAGAAAUCAUCGUGCAAGGAGACAUUUUUUUCAAAGAUAGAUGCAGUUAUUCUUAACAAUGAAUAAAAUCUGAUUAUGAGUAACAAAUGGGUACUACUUUAAAUUGAAAACCACCGUUACGACAACCAAUAGUAGUGUUUGCAAUGUUUUGAAAAAUAACGGUCAUAUUUACCACCGCUAAUUUAGUUGACUAUAUAUGUCAUGUUUUGUUAUAAUUAUAAUAUAAUAAUUAUGAAAAUCAAAAAUAGAAAGAACCUCAUAAGAAUCAUUACUAGGUGAUAAAAUGACAUAUAAUUGUGAUGAUUAAUAAUAUUUAUUUUAUUGUGACAAUAAUUGUGAUACUAGCUUUUUUAGAGGCUUAGACAUAGAAAUUUUUUUUUUAAAGGAAUAUUUAUAAGAUAUUAUUUCGUUUGUUAUAUAAAGUACAAAUCUUUCUAUAUUUGGUUAUUAUUAAUGGUAUAAUUUCAUUUUAUUAUUGUAAAUAAGUGUUGUUCAUCUUAAAAAAUGAUAUAUACCGAAAUUUGGCAAAAAAUAUUAUACAAUUUAACUAUUAUUCAUAAACUCAAAUAUAAAAAUAUUACACGAUUUCUUAAAUAUAUAAACUCGUGUCUGGCAAGAAUUGAAAAUAAAAAUCUGAUGUUUCAAUAAUCAAAUUAUAAUAAGGUUUAUAUAAUGAUUGUGUCCGCGCGACGCGGGCAGAUACCUAGUUAAUAUUGGAUUCCAACACUAUGAAACUAUGUUCAAGACCGGUGAAUAAUUGAGCGUUGAGGGCCUUGAGGCUGGUGCCUGUAAUUUGAACCGUAAAAUACAGGUUCGAAUACAACGAUUUAAUUAGGAUUAGUGUCUUGUUGAAAAAGACUAUGGAAUGUAAAAUUCAAAGCCAUUAGAUUAAAAUCAUGCUCUUUAAAAUAAAAAAUUCAUAAAAACUAGGGAAAGUUUUAUAAAAAGAGCAACGUUCAUAUGUUGAAAAGCAAACUUUUGAAUGAAUAAUGACUAUAGCAGCGGGAUACACUAGAUUUACAAGAUUUAAUUGCCUGGGAUAUGGGAGAAUUUGGAAUUAAAGAUUUACAAAAAUUUAAUUUUAACCUUCUAAUAAACAGCUAUAGCGAUGGAAAGAGAGAAUAUUUUCACUAAGCAAAAAAAAAAAAAAAAAAAAAAACUGAUGUGUUUUAGGUGAAAUGCAUUGUACUAGUGACGAAGGAAUAUAUGAUUUGCUCUAUUUAAGUCUUUUUUGGUUAUAAUUUCCACCACUUUACCAAAGACGUUCACUUUAGAUGCAUCUAACAAAACUAAUUGAUUAGUUUCCCUUUCGAAAUAUUAUAAUCAUUUUUUGUUGAAUAAUUUCAAAUUCCCACCGAAAGUCCUUCACUUUUAAUUAUGAACACCACAUAUUUGAUAAAAACAAAUUACUUUUCAUCAUAAUAACCUUGAAAAAAGCGGUGUGGUUUGAUUAAACUUGAACCGCAUGUUCCAUAGACUGAAAAAUAGUAUUUUACACCUUAAAAGCAUAACCUAUCUAGCUGGUAAACUUCGUCCGCCCAUUCAAGGUCAGUUUCAUGUUCUCGAUGAACCAUUGUUCUCAAAAACUCGCCAACUCGUGCGACACUUACAGCAUUUAAGGGAAGCUUUCUCAGUCAGGAAUGAAGCUAGGAGAAGAAGGAAUCAAGUUAAAGGAAAGACAAGAACCGGAACAAAAGUCUUAGUGUGGCAAAGAUGUAGGACCGCGAAAAUCCGAUUGAAAUCACGAAUAGAAAAUAGCAAUAUUAUAAACGAUAUGUUAAAGUAAGAGAUUAAAACGAGAGUUUGAAAACCGAUUGAAAACAGACGAACACAUGGAGUCGAGAUAUGAUCUCUUUCCUUAACUCAAUAAAUCGCCCGUAAUGUGUGACGGUUUGUUGCGAUUUUUGAAUCCCAGGAUACAACCGUGAUGAGACUAUUACGCAACACCCGUAAUAGAAUCUACGAACUGAGAUUAUACUACGCUAUAGCUCUCGAGACACUUACGAUAUUAAGAUGAGAGGGAUUUGCUAGAAAGAAUUAUUUGCUGUGUGUUUGGUGUAUUCGAGAAUUCGAUUUUUCAUUCGAUGAUCUAGAAUGAGAGAAGAGGGCGUCUAUUUAUACUGGAAGGUUCAGCUUGAUCCGCAAGGAAUAAGCUUUGGCAAAAGGAAUAUUCACGAGAUAUUCUCCUUUUUCCGCAAGUAAAAAGAUUCGGAAAUCUUCCGUUAUUAUCUGGACGCAAUCUUUUAUUUCCUAAGAUUUAUCCUUUCAAUAUGCAAAAAAUUAUUUCGCAGGAACUAAGAAGCCCACGACCCACAUCCAGCUAUGUAGAGCCCAAGAGCCCUAAGAGCCAACUAAAAAAAUGCAACAAGCAACGAGCAACGAGCAACGAGCCUGAGCCCGGCACCGGCACCGGUGACGGCGACGGCGAUGGCGACGGCGAUGGCGGUGGCGCGCAUAGGUGUUUUGCAUAAUGCCCUUUUACUUCCACAAUGCUGUGUAUGCUUAUUAAUAUUGGGUUCCAACAAUCCCCCACAUGAAUAGAAAUGACUCUAUACAUAUGCAGACUCGAUAGACUAUGCAGACUAGACUCAAACUACACUACAGAUUCGACAGACGGACUUUUCGAGAGUAUAAGCGAAAACUAACUGUGUCUGAGGAAGUAGCGUUUUUCAGCCUUGAACCACUCAUUUUUAAUAUCUGUCGGAUUUACUCUCCAGGAAGUGAACAUGAUGUCUUGAACCACCCAGAUUUUGGUGUAAACCAAAUCAACAGAUACAACUCAGCUUCGUCUUCUCGUAGCAUUCAGUUCUCUAUUGUGUUCAUUGUGGCUUUGAACGUGCCUGGUUUAUCAUGAGUGAACUUGGAGAGUAUAGCCUUGUCUUCGUUCUCCUAGAAACGGCCUCAUUUCACACUCACUAAGUGAUUGCCAAGUACCUAUCACAUACUCAGAAAGUAUCAUGUUAUACUCUAUAUACAUGUAUAUGAAGGCUAUGGUCUUAUCUCAUUAAAAGCCAUAAAGCUUAACCUUACAUAAUUACAGGAAACACUGUUUAUCAUCAUGGAAAUUGAGCAUUUUACAGUGCUUUUCUCAGAUUAUGCUUGAUUUAGUUGUCCCUUUGAACCAACCUCUUGGGAUCUCCAAUCGCGUAGGUGGGAUUUCCAUCAAACAUCCUCUUUCGUGAUAGGCAAUAAGCUCAUUCCUUUAGAUGAUUCAAUGAUUUGAUCUCGCGGCAAGCUUUUGGUAAACGGAUCCGCUAAAUUUUCCGCUGACUUGAUGUAAUCAACUGUGAGUACACCACUUAAGAUCAGAUGCCUAAUCGUCUUAUGUCGUCUUCGUAUGUGACGAGACUUGCCAUUAUACAGAUUAUUCAGUGCCCGAGAGAUAGCCGACUGACUACCACAGUGUACACGUAAUGCUGGCACUGGUUUUUCCCACAUCGGGAUAUCUUCCAGGAAGUUCCGAAGCCACUCUGCUUCUUCGGCUGCUUUGUCUAAAGCUAUGAACUCUGACUCCAUGGUUUAUCGGGCCAGGAGUGCCUGUUUGGAAGAUUUCCAGGAUACUGCUGCUCCAGCGAGUGUAAAGACAUAUCCACUUGUGGAUUUGGCAUUUCUAGAAUCUGAAAUCCAAUUGGCAUCAUUGUACCGUUAUAACUGAUAACACCGGAUUUUGACCAUUUUUAUGGAUCAUUUUAAUAUCUUUUACAGGUGUUUUUACUCCAUUUUCAAAGGUUUUCAAAGGAUUUCUAUGUUUCCGGAUUUUAAAAGACUUUUCAGGUAAUUUGGGAUAAAGAGGUACAAAAUGGAACAAAUGAACUCUUUUGGAUAAAUGCAGACCGUCAGAACUCUCAUGGAGAGACGAAGACCUUCUCACCGUCUGAUCACCCUCAAAAUUGGACAACUUAUAGAAGAAUCAACCAGCUUUCAAUUGCACUUGGUUUGGAGACAUUCCAACGGUUGGAUCGCAAGAUAUUUCAUUAGCCCCGGAGCCACUCGAAGUCGGCCAGCAGCUCACGCGACCGCGGCCAACAAGCUAUUUGCCGCGGUCAGAAGCUUCCCGAUCGCGGCCAACAAGCCAAUUGCCGCGGUCACAACACUCCCGACCGUGGCAUUCAAGCUCCGACUUAAAGCCCACUUAUCUGAAGCCCAAGUCAUUCCCAGCCUCAAUUCCGGAACCCUAGAGACCAUGGAGUAUUGGAGACUAUAAAUACAUGUCAUUUAGGUCGUUUUUAGAGAGAACCCUUCAUACUUUACAGAAACCAUUUUUCUUUAGCCGUUUUUAUGAGAUUUUUGUAGAAGAUUGUUCAAGUCCGAGUUCUUCAAUAGAGAAGCUUUCUUUAUCUCUUUUCUUUACUGUUUUUCAUUAGUUUUAUUAAAAUCAAUGAUGAUGUCGAACUCAGCCAUGUCUGAGUAGAUCCUGACUUGGGCUUAGGGUUCCCGAAAGGGGCUCUCAUAAUCGAUUAAGACAUCUAGGUUUAUAGAUCUGGGAUUUCGACUUGUUCUCUGUUUAAUCUUGUUCUUAUUGCAUGUAUGCUUGAUUGAUCACCUAGUAUCUGAUCUAGAUAGUUAGUGUUGCGAAAGUUUUCAUUAAGUAUCAGCCCUAGAAUGAAACAGGCGAUUUUUCCGUAGGAGUGGAAACCUACCUGCGGCGAGAUCGUGAGUAUUGACGAGUCUUGUGCAGUUCUUGCGUUCUCUCCCUUCCAGGGCCAGAGUGGAAAAACCUACUGGUCAGGGUUGUGAGAAACAGUUGGUUAUGAUCACGACAGUGACGUAGUCAUACCGCCGUACUCUAGCUCUAGAACCCAUAUAUUGUUAUCUGUCAAUCCCAAUUUAUCUACCUUAGUGUUAAAACCGAUUAUGAUCCCUUAGAGUUCCCAAAAGCUCAGCGUUUUUAGCCAUAGUUUACAAUUUCAAUCGAUUUUUACUUGCUUUCUUAGACCUGCAUUUCAAUUUCCUUAGUUCGUUAUUUACUUGCUUUAUUUACUUUUCAUGCGAUAUUUUACUUGCCUUAUUUUUGGUUAGUUCGAUAUUUUACUUAUUCCAUUUGCAUUCCAUUCGAUUUUCUUUACUUGCUUUUCAGGAUAGAUUUAUUUGCUUUCUUUUGUUUUAGUUUAAUUCGCAAGAAAAACAACCAACCUUUAAAACCAAUUUAGUCUAGACAUAAAGUUAAAAACGGUAGAAGAAUACCAGGCACACAAAUCUCUGUGGAUUCGAUCCCUAAAUACUACAACUGAUUAGCUGUGCACUUGCGGCUUUUAUUUGUUUUGUUAAGGGUAAAAAUUGUUCCCUCACGUAGUUGACACGAGCGAGCACGCAUCAAGUUUUUGGCGCCGUUGCCGGGGAUUUGUUUCGCUGCCUUUUGCUAUUUUUCAUGUUUUAACUUCUGUUCUAGACACCUGAUCUCUAGUUCUUUCUUAAAGUUUUUCUGAACUAUCUUUCCCUUCUUUUGUCUUUCUCUGAAUUGCAUGAAUACCAGGCGUAGACCUGCAGGAGACAUUCCAAUUCUAGACGAGAUAGACAGACACGAAAGAGAACUUCGAAAACUUAGACGAACGCAAGAAAUGACCAACGACGACCAGCCUGGAGAUCCUAUUAAUCGAAAUUUAAAUAUGGACCAAGACGGGUCCGAACAUGGAGAAAAAGAAGAGAAUGAUCACACAGAAGGUGAUCAUGCUCGACAAGAUGGAGAGGAGGAUGAGGUUCUUCCAAGAAACCACCAGAACCGAGAGAGAGAAGGACGUGAAGACUUUGAUCCACCCAUCAAUGCAGCCGAUGGUGACCACCCAGCAAUGCAGCCGAAUGAACGCAUUCACCGCCCCAUUCCGCCAGCAAAUCAACACCGAAGACAAGCCAGAAACCAUCGCAUAGCUGAUUUUGAUGCACCUACUCAAAAUUUUCAGAAUCGAUCUGCGAUUCAAGUACCAUUUCCAAACCGGAAUGAGUUUGAAGUCAAGCCUCAAAUCAUCUCAUUGGUGAAGCAAAAACAGUUCCAUGGAGUUCCUUCUGAGAACCCAAUGGACCAUAUCGAGCUUUUUGAAGAAAUUUGCAGCAUGAUGAGAACAAACCAAGUUCCACCUGACUAUUUAAAGUGUAAGUUGUUCCUUUUUUCAUUAGCAGAUAAAGCUCACCGUUGGUUGAAGUCUUUGCCUGCAGGAUCGAUUACUAAUUGGGAAGAAUGUAGAACUGCUUUCCUGAACCACUUCUACACUAAGUCAAGGUUGAACAAUUUGAGAACGAAGAUCUCGACCUUUCAACAAGGGCCAACUGAAUCUUUCUAUGAAGCUUGGGAACGUUUUAAGGAGUAUGAACGUGAUUUCCCUCAUCAUGGAUUUCAUGGAUCAAGCCUGCUGAGCACAUUUUACCGAGGUUUGCAACCAAAAUACAAACUUUCACUUGAUACAGCUAGCAAUGGAGAUUUUGGGCAAAAGACGAUAACCCAAGGAAGAGCCCUUAUCGAAAAUUUGGCUCAAGCCAAUAACAAUGACUGUCCUGAAUACGAUCGAUCGAUGAAGCAAGCCGGAACAGACAACAAGGAGAUAACCGAGUUGAAGAACAUGGUGAGCCAACUUCUGAAGAGCAACAAUCGCCCGAUCCAUGCCUGUGAAACCAACAAUGGCGCAGAAGAGGAAGGACCUAGUGAUAUCGAUCACAUUAAUCAAGCAUUUCAAGAAGAAGAUGUGAACUACGUAGGAGCACUGGUGCCAUACCAAAAUCGCUCCAACAACAACUUCAACAACAACUUCCGGAAUGUAAAUUACAACAAUCUCUCUUACCGUAAUCCAAAUGUGGAGAACCCUCAAGAUCAGUACUACCCACCUCAGCAAAAAUCAUUCCAAAACAAGUUUCAAGUUGGAAACUUUGGAGGAAUAGUACCAUAUCAACCGCGACAGCCAUAUAACUACCAAGGUACGGGUUUUAACAAUCAAUUUGUACAACAGCAGGGAGUCACGACGAACCAGCUAGCUUCACAAAUCGGUAGACUUGAACAGUCAAUCCAACAGCUUGUUAUGACGAACGAAAAAGCAUCUAAAGACGUGAACGUGAAAGUGGACUGCAUGUACAAUGAUCUGAAUGGUAAGUUUGAAUCUUUAUCUUCGCACGUAAAAAAGUUAGAUGUGCAAGUCGCCCAAACAGCCGACUCUAUGAAGAGGCAAAGUGGAGUUCUUCCAGGAAGAGUUGAAGAUAACCCUAAGAAGUUUUGCAACGCCAUAACCACAAUGCCCGAAGAAGAGUCCAGAACCAAUGGAAAGAAAGAAGAAACCCCAAUCUUUGUACCACUGUACAAGGAUAUCGAUCCCAAGCAGCCACCGUUUAAGAUACCCGAACGAUCACCGUUUCAAAGGCUUACCAAAGCCGAACAUCCGGGACGUUUUGUUUUCCAAUGUUUCAUUUCAGGAAUCAAGUUUACAGAUUGUUUGUGCGAUUCCGGAGCCAAUGUCAACAUCAUGUCUAAGACAUUUGCCGAAAAUUGGGCAUAAAAACCUUAAGGACAUCGACGGUUAAGGUUAUCUUUGGAGAUUCAUCUCAAAAAGAUACUGAAUGGGCGAUUCAUGAUCUACAAGUUCUAGUGGAAGAUAAGAUCGUUCCAGCAGAUUUCCAAGUCCUGGAGAUGGAUAAAGACAAGGAGAGGCCACUCAUUUUCGGGAGACCAUUCCUAGUUACAGUAGGAGUAAUAAUCGAUCACGCAAAUCGGCAUGCUGUUUUCCUCAAUGUGGACAGAAGAAGGUACUAUCUUAGAUGAAUUUCCAAGUAAAGGAAACAGGCCAAAAGAGAAAGAAAAGGAGAAGCCGAAAGCUUUUGCAAAGAUCAAGAUCAUCAUUCCACCGGACGCAACAGAAACUAGUGAGGACCAAAUCCAGGAGCUGAUCGAAAACACAAAAAGGGUUCUGAACAACAUUAAAGUCCGAAAGAAGAGUAAAGGUAAGAAGACUUCUCUUCAAGGAGAAGAAGUAAAACCUCCACCAACCGGAAGUGAUAAGGGCACAUCAAGUGGAGUGCCAUUCAAAUCAGCCUGAUUCCUCAUGCUUACGUCGAGCUAAACGACUUAAAACAAAAGCGCUUAAUGGGAGGCAACCCAUUUAGGUACUCUUUCUUUUAGUUUUCUUUUCCUUUUUAGAAUUUAUGCUUUCUUUUGCUUUUUAAGUUUUAGGUAUUUUAUAAAACAAAAACACAAAAAAAUCAGAAAUUUAGAAAAACCAAGAAGAAAAAGGUAGGUCUUUAGCUGCUCGGCCCGGCAAAGACGAGAAGAUUAGGCAAUAGGCCGCAGGAGGAAGACCCGCGGUCGCAACUGACGGAACCGAGGCCAAAGGUGCAUUGACCGCGGCACCGUGAAUGUGACCGCGGCCGAGCACUCGACCACCGCAGUCGCGCGUCUCCUGACCACGGCCGUUGGUCGUUGAGGUGAUUCCGCGGAUUUUUGCCGCUUCCCGGUGUUGCCUGGUGUUUGCCUGGUGAUUCCUGGUGUUGCCUGGUGUUGCAUGGUGAUUUCCCGGUGUUGCCUGGUGUUUACCUGGUGAUUCCCGGUCUUGCCUGGUGAUUCCCGGUGUUUCCCAAAAUGUUCCCGGUAAAACCCGAAAAGAUCCUCCGUAAGUUUUAAACUUUCCUAAUGUGCAAACAAGAAAAGGUAAGUUCCCGUAAACUUAAAAAUUUCCAGAAAAUUUCCGUUUUUGCUUCAAAAACGCUUUUUAAAGAAAAAAAACAAACUUUUUGGAUCAAAACUCUUUCUUAUCUUCUCUUCCAAAAGACUUAGAGAUUUAGGAGAAAAAACACAUUUUUCAAUUCUUAAGCUUUUUAAGAGAUUUUUGGCUCAAACCUCACUCUUUUUCAAAGCUGAUUUCAAUUCUACCAUCAAUUCUCUCUUUCCAGCAAGGUAUGAACCUCAAACUCACCAUUCUUACUCGAUUUUGAACUUAGGGUUUUCUUUAAAAACCCAAAAUUUUGGUCUAUUGAUGGUGGAAAUAGCUUAAGAAUGAUAGAUUAUCCAUUUAGGUUAUCUAAAAAUCGAUUUUAGCACCUAGCUUAAGAGGAAUUGAGAUUUUUGAAAUUUGGAUUCUACAUGCUUAAUAAAAAUCGAAUUUGGAACAGCAAAAUUGAUGAAUUUGAUUUAGUCUUGUGUGAUUAGUGAUUAGUAUUGGGUAAUCUUUAGAAUUCACAUGGAAAUUGCUCAUAAAAACCGAUUUUUAGAAGAUUUCUAUGUUGAGAACAUCAAAAAUCUGAAUUUAGUCAUGAAUUACUUGAUUUCUCUGAUUUAAUAUCAAUUUUGUUUGCUAAUAGUUUUAAUUAUUCUCUUUAUACUAGUAUUAGUAUAACAGAUCUUAAUGUGUUAUAAUUAGCAUCCAAAUUCACUCUUUUUCCAAGAAUCAUUUCAUUUUGCAGAAAAUGGAUGAAACCAGAUCCCGAAGGAGCCGUCGAACUGGUGGCAGCUCCGAUGACAUUCCCGACGAUGCUACUCUAGGAGAGUACAUGCUGAACCAAGCCAGACCGAGAAGAAGAUACUCUGUGAUGAGAUUGCUCCAGCACUCGAGGGAAACACGAGCACCUCCCGAGCCACCACAGAUUCGAUACAUUGGGAGGGAGACAAACCCGAGAGUGGACUAUGCAAGGCGUUUCAAGAAGUUGAACAUCAAACCCACGCCUUGCAUUGAUUAUCAUACACUCGAGAUGCUUGGAAUCAGAGAGGAUGUGAUCUGGUACAUCGAUGCACUUAAGCUGAGACCCUACUUGGAGCUGAACCUUCCGACUUAUCCUGAGCUAGUCCGUGAGCUUUUAGCGACCGUUGCACUCCACCACACGAAGAGGAGGAACCCCAGAGCAUCAGAUGGCAUUUUGUCAUUCUCUAUCCGCGGACAGCCUUAUUCUCUCACCAUUUCCGAGGUUUGUGAAGCUCUUAAGCUUCCAUACACUGAUGGCAUUUAUCUUGAAGAUGAACCUGAUCUUAACCUGUGGAGAGAGAUGGGUCAUGGAGCCUACGAUAGUGGGAGAUCUAAGUCAGCCCUUCUUAGCCACCCAGCAGUGAGAGUUGUGCACAAACUCUUAGCACACAUGAUCUUCUCUAGAGCCAACAUGGGAGGUGUUUUGAAGACUGAGCUCAUUACACUUCAGAUCCCAUUUAUGGACGACCCACGACUUGCCUGCUUUGCAUGGAUCAUAUCGCAGAAUAUGGUAAAGGUGAAGCAUGAUUUACAUGGUUGCGAUGACGCUACUCCAGCUUUCGGGAGUGCUAUUACAGCGAUACUACAGACUGUAGGAUUCGAUUUCUCAUCUGACGAACCACUUCCCGAUAUCUGGUAUGAUCUAGUUUACCUCUCUCGCGAUCACACUAUCUCUCGUGCCGCUUUCGAUCCAGACAGGUUUGGUUACAAAUAUUGAACUGGCACCGAGGAGCACCGAGUCCGCUUACCUUCAGCGUCUAUCCCGAGAUUGUGCAACGGAGGACGUCCUCGAUGGACUCCGGAAUCCGAUGAUUUUCUGCCAUCUGUACCUCGUCUACCAUUCACCAUUGGCCAGUACAUAGUGGCCAAGGCGAAGCGUGAUGCAGCUGCGGCCCGUGCUCAUUUUCAGCCAUCAAUUCCGACCGGCCACACCUCAUCAUCUACAUCAUCACACACACAUUCCGAUCUGGAGCGCAGAGUUGAGAGACAGGGACGACGCUUUGAGCGCGUUGUCACCUUCUUACAGGAGCACCACCAGUUCGCAGACGACACUUUGGAGGAUGAGUGACUGAUCAGCACUUUACUACCAUCACGGUUCUAUCAUCAUUUUCUUUUCUUUUAUCUUACUUUAUUUCGCUUUUAUUCACCAACUUUUUCACAUUGGAGACAGUGUGAUUUAAGUCUGGGGGAGGAUGUCUAUCUGUACUAAUCAUUUUCCUGCUUUGCUUUUAAAUUUCAAAUACUUUUUAAAAUUUAAUAUGUAACCUAUUCGACAUUAAGUAUUUUUCAGGAAUGUUUGACGCAAAACUAUGAUGAUUUAGACCUGCACACUUCUACACUAUGCAUGAUAGCUCAUUUGUGGUUAGCACUACAUUAGGCGGUAGCUAGAGUACUUGCACUACGAACUCCCACCAGAGGACUUCUAUUCAUGGAGAUUCUUUCUGACAGGAUAUACUAGCUCAUUUUAUUUGGACUUAAUAUUGAUAUCUAAUUUUCUCAUCAUUGAUUUUAGGCAGGCAUCGACAUACACAUCUAGGACGUCUUUUACCCUCACUUUUACCACUCUUUGUCGUCCUAGAUGACCAGUUUAUCUUUAUCUGGUACCAUACCCUAAACCCAAAACCUUUGUUUUCAAUCCUCAUGCACUCUCUCUUUAGUUUAUAUCAGCAGAUAUGUGCAAAAACGUCGGAGAGAAGAGGAGCGACACAGUUUUCAGUCACUCGCAAAAGAGACUGAAUGGAAUUGGGAAGGAAGAGUAUCAGAAACAUAAUAAAGCUUUACAAGACAGAUAUUAACUGGUAAAUUCGUGCUCUCUAAGACUCUAUAUCUAAAGGUGUUACCUAUCUCUAAAAAAAAAAAAAAAAAAAACGUGAAAAGAGAAAGGCAAACAAAAAGCCUAAUGAGUCUUAGAUUGUCGAAAUUUGUGGAGCAAUGAGCAACCACUAUUCGUUUAAGGAGCUAUUGUUUUGAAAGAUUUACAAAAAUCUAAGUCUGGGGGAGUUUGGAGAGAACUUGAGUAAGAAGACCAUGAAUCUAUGUCAAGAAGAAAGUGACUGAAAACUGUGGAUACCAACAGCUUCACUCUCUCUUGCGGUUUUGCAUAAUGUCCUGCAUCCUCCAGAUCUUCAGGUAACCCUUAAACACUUUAAGCCAUACCCCCAAAAUAAUCCUUCUUUACACCUAGCCUAGAUUGCCUUGCCUAGAUUUUCUUUGAUGAGAACCACCGAGAUUUUUAAUGAAUGUUAAGAGCUAGUUGACUGGAAGUUAGAUUUUAGUGCAUAGAUUUCUGCAUGACGGAUUAACGGACUAGUUAUGCCUGUAUUGCUAGUGAGAAUUUUCUAGGCUAUUCCCGAUUGACGCUUACUGAUUAAUAUUGGUCUAGAAGUUUGGUCUCUGAGAUUUUGUUUAGUUCCUGCGUUUUCAAACCUCUCACUGAGAUUUAGCCUUUGUUUUGUUUGAGGACAAACAAAAGACUAAGUCUGGGGGAGUUGAUAACACCGGAUUUUGACCAUUUUUAUGGAUCAUUUUAAUAUCUUUUACAGGUGUUUUUACUCCAUUUUCAAAGGUUUUCAAAGGAUUUCUAUGUUUCCGGAUUUUAAAAGACUUUUCAGGUAAUUUGGGAUAAAGAGGCACAAAAUGGAACAAAUGAACUCUUUUGGAUAAAUGCAGACCGUCAGAACUCUCAUGGAGAGACGAAGACCUUCUCACCGUCUGAUCACCCUUAAAAUUGGACAACUUAUAGAAGAAUCAACCAGCUUUCAAUUGCACUUGGUUUGGAGACAUUCCAACGGUUGGAUCGCAAGAUAUUUCAUUAGCCCCGGAGCCACUCGAAGUCGGCCAGCAGCUCACGCGACCGCGGCCAACAAGCUAUUUGCCGCGGUCAGAAGCUUCCCGAUCGCGGCCAACAAGCCAAUUGCCGCGGUCACAACACUCCCGACCGCGGCAUUCAAGCUCCGACUUAAAGCCCACUUAUCUGAAGCCCAAGUCAUUCCCAGCCUCAAUUCCGGAACCCUAGAGACCAUGGAGUAUUGGAGACUAUAAAUACAUGUCAUUUAGGUCGUUUUUAGAGAGAACCCUUCAUACUUUACAGAAACCCUUUUCCUUUAGCCGUUUUUAUGAGAUUUUUGUAGAAGAUUGUUCAAGUCCGAGUUCUUCAAUAGAGAAUCUUUCUUUAUCUCUUUUCUUUAUUGUUUUUCAUUACUUUUAUUAAAACCAAUGAUGAUGUCGAACUCAGCCAUGUCUGAGUAGAUCCCGAGUUGGGCUUAGGGUUCCCGAAAGGGGCUCUCAUAAUCGAUUAAGACAUCUAGGUUUAUAGAUCUGUUAUUUCGACCGGUUCUCUGUUUAUUCUUGUUCUUAUUGCAUGUAUGCUUGAUUUAUCACCUAGUAUCUGAUCUAGAUAGUUAGUGUUGCGAAAGUUUUCAUUAAGUAUCAGCCCUAGAAUGAAACAGGCGAUUUUUCCGUAGGAGUGGAAACCUACCUGCGGCGAGAUCGUGAGUAUUGACAAGUCUUGUGCAGCUCUUGCGUUCUCUCUAUUCCAGGGCCAGAGUGGAAACCUACUGGUCACGGUUGCGAGAAACAGUUGGUUAUGAUCACGACAGUGACGUAGUCAUACCGCCGUACUCUAGCUCUAGAACCCAUAUAUUGUUAUCUGUCAAUCCCAAUCUAUCUACCUUAGUGUUCAAACCGAUUAUGAUCCCUUAGAGUUCCCAAAAGCUCAGCGUUUUUAGCCAUAGUGUACUAUUUCAAUCGAUUUUUACUUGCUUUCUUAGACCUGCAUUUCAAUUUCCUUAGUUCGUUAUUUACUUGCUUUAUUUACUUUUCAUGCGAUAUUUUACUUGCCUUAUUUUUGGUUAGUUCGAUAUUUUACUUAUUCCAUUUGCAUUCCAUUCGAUUUUCUUUACUUGCUUUUUAUGAUAGAUUUAUUUGCUUUCUUUUGUUUUAGUUUAAUUCGCAAGAAAAACAACCAACCUUUAAAACCAAUUUAGUCUAGACAUAAAGUUAAAAACGGUAGAAGAAUACCAGGUGAUAUGUCAUGGUUUUUAUGGUUUUUAACCAUGGUAUAAGUCCUAUUUAUAGAGUCUGUUUAGUGUCUUUCGAGUCUUUUGGAGUCUUUUCAGGUCAUAGGUACGUUUGGAGCUUAACUGGAGACUUUGGAGCACUUUGGAGCUUAAUCAGGAUCAAUUUCGUCAAGAAUGGAUUUUGUGCUUUGGUGACGCUCGACACCAUGGAGAGUGACGCGCGACACUUGUUAGAGAAAUAAGGAAAAGGCGAUUUUGUUUCCUAUUUGAAGAAGGAGUUGGGCCCAAACGAUUUCGAGGAAGCCCAAGACGUGUCUUAGAGAUAUAUAUAGGAUUUUUUAUUCCCUUUUUACGUUCACUUUUAGAUUUUGAGAGAGAGAUACUCUGAGUUUUCGGCUUUUGCGAUUUCUGAGCUUGGGGAGACAAGUCUGUACUCUGUUCGUUUAGAGAGAAGAUUUCGAACCCCUUUAUCUAUUUCGAUUUAAUCUAUUGCUUUCUAUUCAUCAUGCUUGUUGUUUCAAUAACCAUGUCUGAGUAGAUCACCUGUUAGGUUUAGGGUUAAUUAGGGUUUUCUCUGAAUGUUUGAUUAACUUGCUAGUUAGGGUUCAUAUCUAUUUGUUCUUCACCUUAGGUUGUUCUUAAAGCUAAUUCUGGACUGAUCACCUAGAAUUUAGAUCUUAGGUUGCUUAAUUGACACGGAAGUGUAAUUGAAUAACUGGAAAGAACCUGAGUUGAGCAAAGUAGCUAUUCGCAAAGGAAUUUGGUUUAGCCGCUUUGUGAACAUAUCGAACUUGUGCAAUUAAGGCUGGUUUAAAUCUGUAGGAUUUACAAAGGAAUUUGGAAUUCUAGGAUUUUAACUUAGAUAAUUCUCACAACGGAAGUUGGUUAAUUAUAAUUCUGUGUUUCGAGUUCAAGAACCGUGCUUAAUACCUGAACCCUGACUUGUUAAGUUGAUUUGCAUUCAUUGAUCUCCUGAAAAUUACCCUAGGCCUAUCCUUUAUCACAUCGAAUUUACAACUGUCUUCAUCGCUGCUUUAUUUAUUUCUGUCGCAUUGUUAUUUCUUUUGCAUAUUUCUGCUUAGCGUAACUCUAUCUACAUAAGGUUUAUUGAGUGAUCUCUUGUCUCUGUGAUUCGACCCCUAGAUACUACAACUGCACAUCUAUGCUCUUGCAGAGUAGCUUAGGGAUUAAACUUUGAGCAUAUCAAGUUUUGGCGCCGUUGCCGGGGACUUGAUUUCGCCAUUAAACCUAGUUUUUGAGUUUCGACUAAGUUUUUCAACUUAGUGUCGAGCGACACCACUUGUGGUGUCGCGCGACACCUUUCUUUUUAUAACCUAAUUUGCUUACUUCGUUUUCUCUCUCUCUGUUUUUGGUGUUUCAGGUUUAUGCAUACUCGUGGAACCAGAAGCAACAAGGACAUCCCGCUAGUGAAUUUGAGCAACGAACAGCUAGCUGAGUUAGAGCGAACGAACAGGAAAGCAAGAGAUCCGGCAAUGAUGGAAAACGCCAAUGGACUUGUUUGUGAUGAUGAUGGAACCUGGAGAGACCGAGAGGGUCAUCUGUGCAAUGCGAGAGGCCAAAGGCUUGAUGGAGAUGGUAACAUCAUUCCACCAGCGCCUUUACCAGUGGAUGUUGUUGACCAUAAUCCACCACCUGCACCGCGUGGUAAUGCUGUGAUCGUUCCACAUCAGAGGAACGUUCCAGAAGAUCGGAAUGCGAGGGAACCUGCGCCUGCAGCUGGUCGUGGACGAACACUUGGAGACUACAACAGGCCUGAGCAGUUCUAUGCAAAUCGUUCUGCGAUUCGCGCUCCUGCGUUUCAAAGAAACGAUUUUGAGCUGAAGCCUGUGUACUACACUCUUGUAGGUCAGCACCCUUUCCAUGGCCACUCUCAUGAGCACCCGAUGGACCACAUCGAGAGGUUUGAAGAUUUGGUCACCAGCAUCAAAUACAAUGGAGUGUCCAAUGAUUUCCUCCUCUGCAAGCUGUUUCCUUACUCUCUUGCUGGAGAAGCAGCUAACUGGUUGAAACAGUUGGAGCCAGGAUCGCUCACCACUUGGGAAGAAACCUGGAACGCCUUCCUGCACAACUUCUUCGACGAUGCUAGGUCUGAGGAGUUGAGGACGAAAAUCUCGACUUUCUCUCAGGAACCUACUGAAGCAUUCAAAGCUUCUUGGGUGCGAUUCAAAUCGUACCAGCGAGACUGCCCUCACCAUGGCUUCAGCGAUGUGCAGUUGCUGGGUAUCUUCUUCAGAGGUAUCGACUGGAGGUAUCAGAUGGCACAUGAUGCAGCAAGCAAUGGUAACUUAAACACCAGAUACCCAGAAGAAUCUGUUGAGCUCAUCGAAAAUUUGGCAUCCAGCAACAGCACCAAGAAUGCUGAUCUUGAGCGAAAGAAGCAAGCUGGGAACAUGGAUAGAUCGCAGAUCGCUGAAGUGAAGGCUAAACUUGAUUCUGUGCACAGCCUUUUAGUGGGCAAGAAAUCGGUCAGAUUCGCACAGGAGGUGGAGAGUUUCGAACCUGAGGAUGCAGUUGAGGAAGAGGAUGUCAACUUUGUCAGUGGAUCAGGAUUUUAGGGUCAGAGGUUUGGUAAUCAGCAAGGUAACAGAAGCUACAGUGGAAAUUACAGUGGAAACAAUCAGAGGAGUACCUUCAACAGUAAUCAGAACUUCUCUGGUUACACGCCUAAGCCUCAAUACCAGAAACCUUUUUCCAGCAACAGUUUUUCCAGGAACUACAGCACUCCUUCAUCUCAACCUCAAAAUCCUGUAAAUGAGAUGAAGUCUAUGCUGGAACAGAUUCUAGAAGGUCAGCAGAAGCUCACUGUGGACUUUAAUGGGAAGAUGGAUGCUCUCUACAUCGAUCUGAAUGGAAAAAUCGAAGCUCUGAACACCCAUGUCAAGCAGCUCGAUACACAGGUAGCCCAAACUGCAGGUUCUAUUAAAAGGCAAGAGGGUUUUCUUCCUGGGAAGACUGACACCAAUCCAAGGCAUCACUGUAGUGCUAUCACGUUGAGGAGUGGUAAAAAUCUGAGUUCUGAUCCCAAGAAGACGCCUCCUGCACCUGAAGUGGUGGAUUUAGAAGAUUCUGAAGCAGUUCUUGAGAUUGCAGAGCCGGUGACGAGCGACACCACCACUAGUGUCGCGCGUCACCAAUUGCAGAGCGAAGCUGUUGAUGUUCCGAAUCCGAAAUCUGCAGAGGAGAAAGUCUACAAACCUAAAGUUCCUUACCCAAGGAGCCCUAGGAAGUUCAAGCAAGAGCUUGAUGAUGCACGAUGCAAAGCUUUGAUGGAAAAGCUUGUGAUUGAGAUACCUUUGGUUGAUGCUGUAAAAAUCACUCCUGUUAUCAGACGUUAUGUGAAGCGAAUGGUAACCAAUAAUCUCAGCCAUGAACAAGGAGUGAUGAUGAUCUCUGAGCAAGUCAGUGCAGUGAUUCAGAACCGAAUUCCAGAGAAGUUGUCUGAUCCAGGAAGCUUUGUCUUGGAUUGCUCUAUCUUCACAGAGAGAUUCAAGAGAUCGCUGUGUGAUCUGGGUUCAAGUGUUAACCUCAUGCCUUAUUUGGUAGCUGUCAAUCUCGGCAUGACUGAUUUCAAGCCAACAAGGAUCUCCCUCAUCCUAGCUGAUCGUUCGACAAGGAUACCUGAAGGGGUGCUAGAAGAUGUUCCAAUCAAGGUUGGAGACUGCAUGAUACCGACUGACUUUGUGGUUUUGGAGUAUGGAGAGCAGCCUAAAGAUCCUCUUAUCCUUGGGAGACCUUUCCUAGCUACAGCAGGUGCUAUCAUCGAUGUCAGGAAAGGCAGGAUUGCUCUGAAUGUUGGAGAUCUGGUGAUGAACUUUGACAUGGACAAGCUGAUGAAGAAGCCCACAAUCGAUGGUCAGACCUUCUAUGUCGAUACUCUCACGGAGUUUGCUGAGGAUUUUCUCCAUGAGAUGCUGCCUACAGACCCACUUGAGAGAGCUCUGACCACAUCUGCCUCUGAGGCUGAACACUUGGACGAAAUUUCAGCAUCUUACUCGAAGAUGUUGGACUCCAGCGAGCAUGUGAUGCAGCUAGCAUCGCAGAUUGAACAGCUUGAGACUCCUGCGAAGGUGAAGCAGUUAUCCGACUGGAGUGAGGAGAAAGCUCCUAAGAUUGAGUUCAAACAACUCCCUGCAGGACUAAGGUACGCAUUCCUGGGCUCUAAUUCUACUUAUCCAGUCAUUAUCGAUUCUUCCUUGAACAAUGCUGAGGUUACCUUACUCCUGAGCAAGCUGUGCAAGCAUCGCAAAGCUUUUGGCUAUUCUCUUGAUGAUAUUUCAGGUAUUUCACCAGACUUGUGCAUGCACCAAAUCCACUUGGAGGAUGAGUCGAAGUCGUCGAUUGAACACCAGCGCAGGUUGAACCCUAACCUGAAAGACGUCGUCAAAAAGGAGAUCAUGAAGCUACUAGAAGCUGGAAUCAUUUACCCAAUUUCAGAUAGUGCUUGGGUGAGUCCUGUGCACGUGGUUCCUAAGAAAGGAGGAGUUACAGUUGUGAAGAAUGACAAGGAUGAGCUGAUUCCAACACGCACAGUGACUGGACACAGGAUGUGCAUCGAUUACAGGAAGCUGAAUGCAGCAACCAGGAAAGAUCACUUCCCAUUGCCCUUUAUCGAUCAGAUGCUGCAGAGACUUGCAAGCCAUCCCUACUACUGCUUCCUCGAUGGGUACUCAGAAUUUUUCCAGAUCCCUAUCCACCCAGACGAUCAGGAGAAGACCACCUUUACAUGUCCAUACGGCACUUUCGCAUAUCGCAGGAUGCCCUUUGGACUCUGUAAUGCUCCUGCGACGUUUCAGAGAUGUAUGAUGUCCAUCUUCACUGACAUGAUUGAGGAUUUCAUGGAGGUCUUUAUGGAUGAUUUCUCAGUCUACGGAUCAUCUUUUAAGGACUGUCUGGAUAAUCUCUGCAAGGUUCUGGCUCGCUGUGAAGAGAAACACUUGGUCCUUAACUGGGAAAAGUGUCACUUUAUGGUCAGAGAUGGGAUUGUGCUUGGGCACAAGGUAUCUGCAGCUGGUAUCGAGGUUGAUCGCGCGAAGAUUGACGUCAUGACGAGCUUGCCACCACCUGAUUCUGCGAAAUCGGUUAGAAGUUUUCUGGGUCAUGCAGGCUUCUAUCGUCGCUUCAUCAAAGAUUUCAGCAAGAUUGCACGUCCUCUUACUGCUCUGCUCUGUAAAGAUGCUAAGUUUGAGUUUACAGAUGAGUGCCUUGCUGCGUUCGAACAGAUCAAGCAUGCUCUGAUAAGCGCCCCCAUUGUGCAGCCUCCUGACUGGAAUUUGCCUUUUGAGGUGAUGUGUGAUGCUAGUGAUUUUGCUGUUGGUGCUGUUUUAGGACAGAAGAAGGAUAAAAAGCUUCAUGCAAUCUACUAUGCCAGUCGAACUCUGAAUGAUGCUCAAAGGAAUUAUGCUACUACUGAGAAAGAGCUGUUGGCUGUAGUUUUUGCUUUCGAGAAAUUUCGGCCAUACCUUGUGGGAUCGAAGGUGAUUGUGCACACAGACCAUUCUGCACUCAAAUACUUGAUGCAGAAGAAGGAUGCGAAGCCUAGGUUGCUGAGAUGGGUAUUACUCCUUCAGGAAUUCGAUAUUGAGGUCAAGGACAAGAAGGGGGUUGAGAAUGGUGUGGCAGAUCAUCUCUCAUGCAUCAGGAUUGAAGACGAUGUACCCAUAGACGAUUUCCUGCCAGAAGAGAAUGUGUAUUAUGUGGAAACCAAGUUCCAGAGCAGUUUUGACGAAGAAUUGCAGGUUUUUCGAAUUGGAGGAACGUUAGUGACGAGCGACACCACCACUAGUGUCGCGCGUCACCUUACUCAGGCGAACACAGAAACCUCCCAAAUUCGAAGCAGACUUCCUGAGAUCAGUUCAGCUGCUGUAUCCGCUACCCAACGUCCCUUGUAUGCUGAUAUUGCCAAUUAUCUCGCUGCAGAGGCUGAGCCUGAGAACUUUAAGGGCUAUGCAAAGAAGAAGUUCCUGAGAGAGCUGCAAAGAUAUCACUGGGAUGAGCCAUAUCUGUACAAGCACUGUUCUGAUGGGAUUUACAGAAGAUGCAUUGCAGAGUCAGAAGUUCCAGAGGUGCUGUUUCAUUGUCAUGGAUCUGAAUAUGCUGGACACUUUGCAACAUUCAAAACAGUGUCUAAGGUUCUUCAAGCAGGCUUUUGGUGGCCUACCAUGUUUCGCGACGCACAUGCAUUCAUCUCGCAGUGCGAUGCUUGUCAGAGGAGAGGAAAGAUCAGCAAAAGACAUGAGAUGCCACAGAAUUUCAUCCUUGAGGUUGAGGUAUUCGAUUGCUGGGGUAUCGAUUUCAUGGGUCCUUUUCCCUCUUCUUAUGGGAACAAGUACAUCCUGGUUGCUGUUGAUUAUGUCUCAAAGUGGGUCGAAGCCAUUGCCAGUCCCACCAACGAUUCUUCGGUGGUCCUUAAGAUGUUCAAGACCAUCAUCUUUCCUCGAUUUGGAGUGCCUCGAAUUGUUAUAAGUGACGGUGGUUCUCACUUUAUUAACAAGAUUUUCGAAAAAAUCCUAAGGAAACAUGGAGUUCAUCAUCGAGUUGUCACUCCUUAUCAUCCUCAGACGAGUGGACAGGUCGAAGUCUCGAAUCGACAGAUCAAAGAGAUUUUGGAGAAGACAGUGGGCAAAACUCGAAAGGAUUGGGCUGCGAAGUUGGACGAUGCACUCUGGGCGUACAGGACAGCGUUCAAAACACCUCUAGGCACCACACCUUUCCACCUGCUCUAUGGAAAGCCCUGUCACCUUCCAGUGGAGAUCGAACACAAGGCAGCCUGGGCGAUAAAGCUGAUGAAUUUCGACAUCAAGUCUGCUGCAGAGAGGAGACUGAUACAGCUGAAUGAGUUGGACGAAAUCAGGUACCAUGCCUAUGAGAAUUCGAAGUUAUACAAAGAGAGGACCAAGGCGUAUCACGAUUCCAAGAUCCUCUCCAGGCAAUUCGAACCGAAUGAUCAAGUACUUCUGUAUAACUCUCGUUUGCCAUUGUUUCCUGGUAAACUUCGUUCUCGAUGGUCAGGUCCUUUCAUAGUCAAAGAAGUUCGCCCCUAUGGUGCCAUCGUCCUCCUCACACCAGAUGGUAGCAGAGAGUUCACAGUCAAUGGACAAAGGGUGAAGCACUACUGGGCCAAAGCUGAGAUUCCGGAUGGACAUAUCGUGCCUCUAGAUGGCGCACCUCCUGCUUGAAUCGCCAUCAAGUCAAGCUAAUGACUUUAAACAAGCGCUUAGUGGAAGGCAACCCACUGGUGAGUCUGUAAAUAAGUCUUUUGUUUCAGUAAUUUUCGUUUUUCUUUUCGUGUUUUAGGUGAAACAGGGCUGGUGUCGAGCGACACCACCUUCGGUGUCGCUUGUCACUUGCUUCAGAAAAAAAAAAAAAAAAAAAAAAAAAAAUUUAGGAAAUCAGGAAACCGGAGUAAAACCAGAAAUUCGGAUUGGUCUGUUGGGGUAUGAGAGAACAAGUGUCGCACGACACCAUCAUCGGUGUCGCGCGUCACCAUCAUUGCAGCCAGGUACGUUCUCUGUUUUUCCUGUGUUUCUCUGUUUCUUUUCUUUUGUCACCAACUUCGGAUUUGAUUACACUGGGGACAGUGUUAUUCAAGUCUGGGGGAGGUAGUUGCUGACAUUGUGUUUGUUUUUCUUAAGAGUCAGUUGUGUCAAAACGUUUUUGAGUCAAAACCUGUUGGAGACCAUGAUGCUUUUCCUGGAAUUAUUGUGCUGACCUUUCACCUAAGUGACCACUGCUGCAGAUUCAGCCUAGAUCCGACUAAUGAAAAAUCCAAAGGCUGACCAGUUGACUAGAGGCGUCCAUGUUUCCAACAGAAUCCACUAACCUGAGCUAAGUACUGAACUUCACUUUUAACUCGCUGAUGUGACUAAUGCCUUAGAGCUUGAUUCCUCAUUCGUACUUGAUCAAUGAAAGCCUGUGUGAAAUUUAAUGAAGUGAUCUCUCUCCCUUGUGACGAGCUAAGAAAGAAAAAGGGCAAAAAGAUUGAGAUGAUUUUCGCUUAGGAGUGAAGGGCUAGGAAUGUUUCCAAUGAUCCCAUUAUUUCACUUCUAAGAUGGAAUGAUCACACAAAGGAAGGAAGUGAGGGGUAGGAAUGUUUCCCAUGACCCUACUAUUCGCUGAAAACCUUUGAUACAAGGUAAGGGGACAACUCGGGGACUUGGUGGCAAACACCAUCAGUACUCGCAGCUUUAUCCUUAUCGAGUAUGUGCCAUAAAAAAAAAGAAGAAGAAAAAAGAUGAUCAUUGUGCGAAAAGAAUAAGUCUGGGGGAGAGAAAAAGUACCAAAGUUUGUAUGGCUGAUUUGUUUGAGUACAGAAUGGGAAAGAAUCUAGAAGGUUCUGGGCAUUGGAAUCAUCAGUGAGAUCCAGCGAUGAGGGUUUAUGGACGAUGUUGUGAAAUUUUGGACUUAAUCUGGAAAGUUGUGAAUGUCUGCGGAGAAGUACAUGGUGGUUCGAUUUGGAAUGAUGAAGCAGUAGUUGAGUUGCAGGGUGAUCGGUCAAAGCGAUGUUCCAAUGAAAGGUUGAGUCUCUGUGUUUUCAAACUUCUUUCUCUUGUUUGGUGUUCUGUUUGCUUGAGGGCAAGCAAAUGCUAAGUCUGGGGGAGUUGAUAUGUCAUGGUUUUUAUGGUUUUUAACCAUGGUAUAAGUCCUAUUUAUAGAGUCUUUUUAGUGUCUUUCGAGUCUUUUGGAGUCUUUUCAGGUCAUAGGUACGUUUGGAGCUUAACUGGAGACUUUGGAGCACUUUGGAGCUUAAUCAGGAUCAAUUUCGUCAAGAAUGGAUUUUGUGCUUUGGUGACGCUCGACACCAUGGAGAGUGACGCGCGACACUUGUUAGAGAAAUAAGGAAAAGGCGAUUUUGUUUCCUAUUUGAAGAAGGAGUUGGGCCCAAACGUUUUCGAGGAAGCCCAAGACGUGUCUUAGAGAUAUAUAUAGGAUUUGUAUUCCCUUUUUACGUUCACUUUUAGAUUUUGAGAGAGAGAUACUCUGAGUUUUCGGCUUUUGCGAUUUCUGAGCUUGGGGAGACAAGUCUGUACUCUGUUUGUUUAGAGAGAAGAUUUUGAACCCCUUUAUCUAUUUCGAUUUAAUCUAUUGCUUUCUAUUCAUCAUGCUUGUUGUUUCAAUAACCAUGUCUGAGUAGAUCACCUGUUAGGUUUAGGGUUAAUUAGGGUUUUCUCUGAAUGUUUGAUUAACUUGCUAGUUAGGGUUCAUAUCUAUUUGUUCUUCACCUUAGGUUGUUCUUAAAGCUAAUUCUGGACUGAUCACCUAGAAUUUAGAUCUUAGGUUGCUUAAUUGACACGGAAGUGUAAUUGAAUAACUAGAAAGAACCUGAGUUGAGCAAAGUAGCUAUUCGCAAAGGAAUUUGGUUUAGCCGCUUUGUGAACAUAUCGAACUUGUGCAAUUAAGGCUGGUUUAAAUCUGUAGGAUUUACAAAGGAAUUUGGAAUUCUAGGAUUUUAACUUAGAUAAUUCUCACAACGGAAGUUGGUUAAUUAUAGUUCUGUGUUUCGAGUUCAAGAACCGUGCUUAAUACCUGAACCCUGACUUGUUAAGUUGAUUUGCAUUCAUUGAUCUCCUGAAAAUUACCCUAGGCCUAUCCUUUAUCACAUCGAAUUUACAACUGUCUUCAUCGCUGCUUUAUUUAUUUUUGUCGCAUUGUUAUUUCUUCUGCAUAUUUCUGCUUAGCGUAACUCUAUCUACAUAAGGUUUAUUGAGUGAUCUCUUGUCUCUGUGGUUCGACCCCUAGAUACUACAACUGCACAUCUGUGCUCUUGCAGAGUAGCUUAGGGAUUAAACUUUGAGCAUAUCACCAGGCACACAAAUCUCUGUGGAUUCGAUCCCUAAAUACUACAACUGAUUAGCUGUGCACUUGCGGCUUUCAUUUGUUUUGUUAAGGGUAAAACUUGUUCCCUCACGUAGUUGACACGAGCGAGCACGCAUCAAUAACACUGCUGGUUCUUUACCAAAGUGCAGCCCAUAACUCGUAGUGUAUCGCAAAUAGUUCAACACCCUAGUUAUUGCUUUCCAAUGAGUAUGACCUGGAUUACUUGUGUAUCGACUUAACACGUUUACCGCAUGCGCUAGAUCGGGUCUUGUACAAUUGGUCAAGUACAUCAGACUUCCAAUUACCCGUGCAUACUCCACCUGUGAUACUGGUUCACCUGUGUUCUUGGUUAGGUGAGCUUGCAUAUCCAUUGGAGUUUUUGCGGUUCCAUUCGAGUAGGUCUUAAACCUCUCUAGGAUCUUUUCAGCAUAGUGAUCUUGAGACAGAGUAAUUCCAUCUGAAGUUCGAAUGAUCUUAAUCCCAAGUAUGACAUCUGCAAGUCCCAUGUCUUUCAUGUCAAAUUUUCCAUUGAGCAUGUUCUUGGUUUGUUGAAUGAUAUUUUUGUUACUGCCAAUAAUCAGCAUGUCAUCUACAUACAGACAUAGUAAGAUGUAUCCGUUUGGAGUACAUUUGUAGUAGAUGCAUUUAUCACAUUCGUUAAUGCUGAAACCAUUUGACAUCAUCACAUUGUCAAACUUUUGUGCCAUUGUUUUGGAGCUUGUUUCAGUACAUACAGUGAUUUCACGAGUCUACACACUUUGUGCUCUUGACUCUUAACCUCGAAACCUUCCGGUUGUUUCAUGUAUAUCUCUUCUUCUAAAUCACCAUUUAGAAAGGCAGUUUUAACAUCCAUCUGAUGGAUUUCCAAGCCUCGCAAGGAUGCUACACCAAUCAAUAUUCUGAUCGAAGUUAUUCUCGUAACUGGAGAAUAGGUGUCAAAGAAAUCUAGACCUUCUUUUUGUCUGAAUCCUUGCACCACAAGGCGUGCCUUGUACUUAUCUAUAGAACGAUCAGCUUUCAGCUUGGUCUUGAAGAUCCAUUUACACCCUAGUGCUUUGAACCCUUGAGGUAAGUCAGUUAUCUCAUAGGUAUGAUUCUGCAUUAUAGAACUCAUCUCACUAUUGACAGCAUCCUUCCAAUAAGGAGCUUCUGGUGUAGACAUGGCUUCUGUGUAAGAUCUCGGUUCAUUCUCGACAAGAAAGACCAUCAUGAAAUCUUCACCAAAAGAUUUUUUCUUACGAGCUCUUUUGCUUCGUCUAGGUUCAUUUUCAACCUGUUCUACUUCCAUCUCAUUUACAGAAGUAGUCACAUCUCUUUCUUCACGAGUGCCUUGAUUCCAUGAUAGUAUUCACUUGGACAUCUGAUACAUCUAACUUAUGUACCAGAAAUUGAUAAGCACUACUAUUGUGAGCAUAUCCAAUAAAGAUACAGUCCACAGUCUUAGGUCUAAUUGUGACCUUCUUUGGAAGUGGCACUGCGACUUUUGCUAAGCACCCCCACACUUUCAGGUAUUUGUACGAAGGUACAUUACCUUUCCAAAGUUCAUACGGUGUUUUGCCAGUUACCUUACGAGGUAUUUUGUUGAGGAUAUAAUUUGUGGUGAGCAGUGCUUCCCCCCCCCACAGAUUCUGGGGUGUCCCAGAUUCCUGCAAUAUUGCAUUCAUCAUCUCCUUCAGAGUUCGAUUCUUUCUUUCCGCAACUCCAUUGGAUUUAGGUGAAUAGGGGGCUGUAGUUUGAUGGACAAUUCCAUUUAUCUUGCAAAACUCAUUGAAAGGUCCAUCAUAUUCUCCACCCCUAUCACUUCUGACCAUUUUGAUGGUCUUUGCCAGUUGCUUUUCAACUUCGAGUUUGUACUCUUUGAAUUUGUCCAAGACUUCAUCUUUACUACUCAGCAAGUACACGUAGCAGUACCUUGUACAAUCAUCAAUGAAAGUCACAAAAUACUUUUUACCACCUCUUGAUGGUAGAUAUUUUAAAUCGCAUAUAUCAGUGUAUAUUAAUCCAAGAGGUUCAGUAGUUCUUUCAACAUGAGGUGAUGGUGUUUUUGUGAGCUUUGCUUGGACACAAAUUUCACAUUUGUCUUUGCUAAUUUUGCACUUUGGAAUCAUGUUCAAAUUCAUCAGUCUUUGAAUGGACUUGUAAUUAACAUGUCCUAAACGUUCAUGCCAAAUAUUAGAAGACUCAACCACAUAAGCAACUGGGUUUUUAUUAAUUAAAUCUUUGAAAUCAUGUACAACUUUGUUUUUCUUCAAGAUUGUCAUUACAGACAUUUUGAUCAAUCCGGACUUAACAUAACCUUUUCAUAUGAAAACACUAUUCUUCCUAAGUAUCAGCUGGUCAGACUCAAAGUUGAUUGCAAAACCAUGCUUGCUCAUUAGAGUACCAGAGAUCAGGUUCUUCCUCAUGUCUGGAACAUGCUUCACGUUGUUGAGAGUAACCUCCAUGCCUGAAGUCAUCUUCAACACAACUUUUCCAGUACCUUCAAUCUUGGAUUGGGAAAUGUUUCCCAUCUUCAGUUGAUCAUCAAUCUUGCACUUCUGAUAGGUACUGAACAUUUCUCUGUCAAUACAGAUGUGUGUGGUAGCACCUGUGUCAUACCACCACACCUUGGGGUUCUCUUCCACCAAGUUAGCCUCUUGCUUGCGACAGGGCCUUUUGCUUGUAAGCAAGAUAGUUCUGGAAGUAUGCCCAACUUGGAGGUAACUUCUCAAUGAAGCAGUUCACCGUGAAUGUCUCACAUAACUUCAUUCCUUCAGUCCUAAUCUCUUGAAAGAUUAGUUCCAGCUCGUGCACUUGUGGCAUGAUGGGACGAGAAUCCACCAUCUUAAACUUGAGGAGUUUCGCAGUAGCGAAUUUCCCAGAGCCGACAUUGUACGACUUGUACUUCUUUUCCAAAGCAUCCCAGAGUUCUUUGGAAAUUUUGACCUCACUGUACACAUCAAACAGCUGGUCCACCAGGCGAUUCUUGAUGUGCCCUUUGCAUAGGAAGUCUGAGUUCUUCCAUGCUUCAACGGUAGCCAGAAUCGUAGCAUCUUUGUUUCCUUCUGGCACUGUUGGGGGAUCCUCUGUGAGGUACUUGCUCAGCUGCAUUGACGACAGAAAGAAUUGCAUCCUUUCUUGCCACUGCUUGAAGUUCGAACCAUCGAACUUGUCAAGAUGAAGUUCUGCGGUUACCGACGCUGGCAUUCUGACUUCACCCGAGCUUCCAUUGGUAGUCAUGUCGACAUCACCGUUAGUCAUAGUUGAAUCUGUUCACAGAAGAUAACCGAAGUUAGUAUUGAGAACCAAGAUUCAAAUCAGCGAUUAAGACGUUUAAGUCGCUAUGAACAGCGUUUUUCCGAAAAUGAUUCGCUUUGAGUUUCCACAGAUAUUACCAAUAGGUAUUCUUAGAACUCGAAAAUAGGUGUUCCCAGAAUCAUCUUUUGAUGACAUUCUUAAACCCUAACAAUUUUUUCGGACCUGUCUAUGACUGCCGCAUAAACCGUUUCAGAAGAUUCGUCUUUAACAGAUCAAAAGUUCUACGAAAUAGCUAAGAAACUUUCUCAGAAACUUUGUAGAUCGAUUUUAAAAACUCGCUUUUCCAAAAACCGUUUAUAAAAACUGUUUCGCAAUAUUCAAUCCGAUUCAAGCGAUAAGCAGGAAGCGGAUUUAUUGAGUUAAGAUUGUAGGACCGCAAAAAUCCGAUUGAAAUCACGAAUAGAAAAUAGCAAUAUUAUAAACGAUAUGUUAAGGUAAGAGAUUAAAACGAGAGUUUGAAAACCGAUUGAAAACAGACGAACACACGGAGUCGAGAUAUGAUCUCUUUCCUUAACUCAAUAAAUUGUCCGUAAUGUGUGACGGUUUGUUGCGAUUUUUGAAUCCCAGGAUACAACCGUGAUGAGACUAUUACGCAACACGCGUAAUAGAAUCUGCGAACUGAGAUUAUACUACGCUAUAGCUCUCGAGACACUUACGAUAUUAAGACGAGAGGGAUUUGCUAGAAAUAAUUAUUUGCUGUGUGUUUGGUGUAUUCGAGAAUUCGAUUUUUCAUUCGAUGAUCUAGAAUGAGAGAAGAGGGCGUCUAUUUAUACUGGAAGGUUCAGCUUGAUCCGCAAGGAAUAAGCUUUGGCAAAAAGGAAUAUUCACGAGAUAUUCUCCUUUUUCCGCAAGUAAAAGGAUUCGGAAAUCUUCCGUUAUUAUCUGGACGCAAUCUUUUAUUUCCUAAGAUUUAUCCUUUCAAUAUGCAAAAAAAUAUUUCGCAGGAACUAAGAAGCCCACGACCCACACCCAGCUAUAUAGAGCCCAAGAGCCCAAAAGUCCUAAGAGCCAACUAAAAAAAUGCAACAAGCAACGAGCAACGAGCCCGGCACCGGCGACGGCGGCGGCGCGCAUAGGUAUUUUUGCAUAAUGCCCUUUUACUUCCACAAUGCUGUUGAUCCUUAUUGUGAGAAGGCCAUAUAUAUACAAAAUAUUUUUCUCCUUAGUGAGCAAUGUGGGACAAAUACACUUCCACUAAACUUCCAUUUUUAGUUAUAGCCAAUAGAAACAUUUCAUUUCUAUAGGCUCAAACUCAAAUCUCAAAUGAAUUUAUAAGACUCAUUUGCUUAUUAAAUUUCAUUUCUUAUUCACACACAAACUUAAUAUUACAAGUCCAAAUAUUUAUUAAUAUUAGGUUCAACAAAAGACACUAAGACAAAUCGGAGUGUUCAAAGUAUUAGAGGAGUUGAUUUCAAGGUCUUGUUCUAGAAGAACAGAGGUUGUAAGUUCAGAACACUUGGAACGUCUCUUCAAUAUAUUAUUACCCAUUAAUGACAUCCUAUGAAAUGGAUCCGUAUACUGAAAAGUCUGAAAUAGAAAAAAGAAUAGUUGAUGAUAAAGGGCAGGCUAAAGAAGUGGAAUUGACAAUUUCUGUCAUGUCUAAGAGUAGAAAGUAUAUAAAAGCUUUUAAGAAAAGACUUGAUGAAUGGCAGGAAGAAUAUGACCAGGGAGUUUUAUAAAGCUGAGGAUGAUGAAAAAUCGAACAUACAAAGUAUUUAGCCAUGUCUAAAACCAGAAUAUCCUACUGCCAAAUCUGUUGGGUAGUAGAACUUUUCUAGUCAAUGCAGUGGCAAAUCGAAUAUGGGGGAAGAAGUGUAAGAUUUUUUCUCGAAAACUUGGUGAAACUUCUUAUAUGUUUCAUAUUCCGGACGCACCAACUAGAGCUUGGGUUCUACAACGAGGUUUAUGGCACAUAGAUGAUUGUAUCACGUUUUUUGUUGCUCCAUGGACUUCUGCUGCCACUUUAAUAUAUAUUUUUAUUGUCCCAUUUAUUUCUUGCUGAACAAGAAACCCAAAUGUGGAAAGAAAAGAAGAAGAAAUUGUUUGUGAUUUGAUCCUUUGAAGAGAUCAAUACACAUGUUUUUACAUUUUUAAAUAAUAAAAUUAAUCCACCAAACACAUGCCUGACUUUUCUAAUAUUUUUUUACUAUGUUGUUCCAAUUUGUAUUUGUUGGGUAUAUGAUAUAUCAUGAUGCAAAUGGAGAGUAUCAGUCUAAAUAAGGGUGCAUACUUCAAGCUAACCUAUAGCAAACAUGUAAGAAUCUCAGAGAUGAAAAAAAAAAACAACUCAAGCGGAAGAGUAUAAGAGAACUGAUUACCAGAUGGAUUAAAGGCAAGAAACGUUUUUUGGUAUCUUUGUCCUCCCAUUCAAACUCAGUUAUCUCUUCUCCAGGACCCAUAUCUAUUGUAAACCAGGCAAUUCGUGGGACACUUGUAGCAUCUAAGGGAAGCUUUCUCAGCUGUGGACACUCUUCUACUGUUAAUUUUUGCAAUAACAGUAGAUACUCUCCAGCUUAAGCAAAUUUCUUAUCGAAAACACUUCUAGUUUCUGAAACGGUGUAAUACCUCUAACUGUAAGAUUGACUUCUUUCUCUUUGCUUAUAAUAAUAUCUUCUACUUCUUCUGAAUAUCCACUUUGUAGGUAGACGACAAGGUUUGGAGCAAACAGUGGAUUUCUAAGUUCUCUAGUUUGGGAAAUUUCGUGGCUUAUGAUGAACAAGUUGGGGUUUGCUGAAUUUGAGUUCUGGUUUAAUCAAGACUGGUUAUAUCAUUAAUUCUUUAAGCCAGUUAAAGCAUUAUUAUGGUUCUGUUUUGGAAGUGGGUUCACUGACAUUGAUUUUUUUGUUUUGUUUUAUAAUUUAAUUCAUUUUCAUAGAUGAAACUGAAAGGUUACAAAUUACAAUGAUUCCCCGCAGGGUUACAGCGCAAAUAAACCUCAGACCGGUGAUCAUGUAUAAGCUUUCCAGCAGUCAAAUCCCAUACCUAUUGGAUAUGAUCAAAUAUUAUAUCAAUUGUUAGAAACACAUACGUUGGGGAAAAGAGAAUGCGCAAGAUCCAUUUAUAGAUAUUGCAGGCUUACCUUUACAACAUUGUCAAGUCCUCCAGUCACUACCCAACGACCAUCGGGAGUAAAUUUGAUAGUGUUGAUGCCACGAGUAUGACCCUUGUACGUCUGUAUGCAUCCCUUCUUUCUGAUGUCCCAAAUCUUCAAAUUCGUGUCACUUGAUCUAUGAUGCCAAAAAUUCACCAAACGGAUGACAUUCAACAGCAGAACAGUUGGAUCUAUGUCCAGUAAAAGCUCGAACCACUACACUUCAAGAGCAAGAGUGAACAUGUUAGACCUCAUAAUUCUAAAGUAAACGAUAGAUAUGGUGUGGUACACUGCUCAAAUAUCAGUAUCUCUAUAUGUUCCCAUUUGAUGGAACUAGCUAGGCAUAAAAAACAAAACACACUUUUUGCUCAACGAGGAAAAAUUUAGACAAGAGAGAAAAUGUGAAACAUACCAUUAAAGAAGUAGGCUUGCCGAUCGCCCAAAGGUUGACCUUGUAAUCAUCACCACCAGUAAUAAGGACCCGUAAUGUCUUCUUUCCAAUAUUUAAGCAAUUUACAUUUGCGGAAUGUGCCAAAACUCCUCUAAGUUUCCAAAUUUGUCAAGGUAUAAGCAAACACCAGACAAGAACAGCUAAAGAAAGGAGCAGCCUUUGAAGCAACUCGACAGCAAAACAUAAAGCAGGUCAUAAAUGGAUAGAAGUACUUUCACAUACAAAACAUAUCCAGAAAAUAUCCAUUUUCUAUCAUAUUGAGCAGCCAAUGAUAGAAACAUUUGACCCGGUAAUUUCUGCUGAAAUCUUGAAAUGCUAAUCAAAACUUGAAGCUUAUCUUGAAAUCUUGAAAUGCUAAUCAAUAGCAAACUAAGCUUUGCUCUUGGGAGUUUCUAAAGAUAAAGCCCUAACGAUUCAGUGAUAUAAAAAAAAAACGACAAAAAAAUCUCAGGAUGGAGCUAAAAAUCCAGAGUUCGUUCAAUUUUACUCAGCUUAAGAAUCAACAAAAUCGCCAGGAAUAUAAAAGGAUACGCAGCUUAUAUCCACGCUUCGCCAUUUUCUACUCGAUUCCCAGCAAAUCCGUGGGAAUCAAUGCAAUCCGAAUCCGGAAUCGAAUCUCUAGCUUCCGUUAUCGAUCUUAAAAACGGUGAAUCGGAGCUGAAAAAAAUUCCCAAUUGUCACUACACGACAGAGCUCGAGAUUUUCGGGAGAUUCAAAGGGAGAAACAUGAAGAAGAAGGAGGUUGCUUCCCGUUGGGAAUUCAAAUCUAAAACGUGAGAAAAGAAUCAAAUUCCGGGAACAAGAAUUUUGAAGGAAACGAGAUAAUCAGAGAUUCAAAUAGUGACACGGAGCAGAAAGAAGAAAAGAAACAGAAGAGAAGAAGAAAAAUGGUAAACCGAAGGAAGUUUUUAUUUUAUUUUUUUUCUUCAGAGUUAUACAUUUUUUUAUUUUUUUAUUUAUAGUUCGGUCGGUCCUUUUUUUAAUUUUUAAUUCAGAUUUUUAAGCAUUUUUCUUGGACAGUGGACCUCAUUUCUUCGUUGUUCGUUCUUCUCAGUUCUGACGGAAAUAUCAUUUUGUCCAGGCAUUGAAAUGAAUAUGAAGUUAUGAAAAUACCCUUGCUUUUAAUUGACUUCUAUUGGUUACAGUUUUUUGAUUUUUUCUCCAACUCCUUCAUAAUUAAACAUUUUUUAUGUUGUCAAAUAUUAUUCGAUAGGUGAGGAAACACUUCAUCAUCUCUUGGGUUUGUUUGUUUCUAUUGUCAACCUUAUAUAUAAAUAGGGUAAAUGUUUUGUUUGAUAAGACGUAAUAUUAUACAAAUAUAACACUUAAAUACUCGAAUCAAAUAGAUAAAUAGAGAAUUUUGAAUCGAAGCCUAUACAUAGUGUCUAGAAAAUCAAUAGAAACAUUUAAAUGAUUUAGAACCUUUAAACGAUUUAGAUAUUAAAAUCAAUUUUCAAAAAUAUUUACCAAAACUUUGUGGAUGAAAGAUGUUUUGCACAAUAUUUCGAAAAUUGAAACUGGACUAAAUUAUGUAGGAAAGAAGAAUCUACGACCGAGCUAACAAACACCCGAACACGAAACUCAUUAUGAUUAAACAAAUAUCAAACCUUUUUUUUUUUCUGACAUUUAUAUCAUGUUUUUCUAGGUCGGUCAGUUUCUAUGGUGCUUCUCAUCUUUAGAUGCUUUAGUAUUUCUCUUACAAUUAUGUUCAUUGUAUUUAGUGGUUGGAUGAUUUACUUUAAGAUUAGAAUACUAAGAUUUGAAUAUUCAUACAACAAUUUCUACUGUAGUUGAAAAAAACAAAGUAUAGCAAAUUGAACACAUUAUUGAAACACAUGUUAGGAAUCUUAUACUGAAAAUUUGAUAGAACCUAAAGUAAUAUAUAAGUGAAACGGAUCAAUCUGCACCAAUUACUUUUAAGUCAGAACCCAUAAAACAUAUUGUGGUAGCGGAACCCAAAUUUUGUUGACUUACGGUAGUAAUAUAUAAGUGAAAUUAAUCAAUAUGCUAAUUACCAGUUACUUUUAAAUAAGAAUAUCAUAACGUAAUGUGAUAGCAUAAUCCAAAUUUGUUGAUUUAAGUAGGAUAGCCCGAAUAAGAAAUAUUGUAGUUCGUGUAUGGCAUACUGCAAAUCUUAGAAUAUGUUUUGGUUUGAGUCUUCAAGAUGUGCUAGAUAGUUAUCAUCUAAAGGAAAUGGACUUAAAGAACUAUAUAAGAGAUACACUCAUAAUUCAUAUAUACCAGAAUCCAUUUUAUUGCCAAUUUUUUUUAGUUAGGAAUUAUAACCAAUGUUCAAAAAAUCGGCCUCAUAGAACUAUAUAAGAGAUACACUCAUAAUUCUUAUAUUGAAAUCAACAAAUCUUAGAAUAUGUUUUAUUUGUAUUUUUAGUUAAAAAAAACAAAGUAUAGCAAAUUGAACACAUUAUUGAAACAAAUGUUAGGAAUCAUAAGUUAGAACCUAUAAAACUUAGAAACAUAUAUCAUGAUAUAGAAUCAAAGGUCAUCUCACUAAAAAUUAUUAUGCUCACAUAUGGUUUAGUGAUUCAAAAAAAUAAAUAAUCAAACAUACGAAUUAACCAAAAUAUAGUCUUAAAAGUUUUAGGUCUGCUAAAAUGUUUUUUUUUAAAGGUGUUACUAUGCUAAGAGCAGGUCCAUUGGAGUAUGAUAUCUAGAAAAAGGCCCAGUAUCAUAGGCAAAUCAUUUAAAAUAAAUAAGAAAAAAGCCCAAUUGUUAUCAACCCGUUUGCUAUUUAGCAGACUUAACAUCUCGUAUGUUAAGACAGGUGGCUGCAGCGGAUUGGUUAAAAAAAUUUAAGCGUUUUUCCGAAAACUGCCCUUCUCUUCCACGACUUGUCAUUUUUUCGAACAAUCACUUUUUCUUUCUUCUGGGUUUCUCUCGCAGCCACCGGCGAUUUCUCUGUGGUUAUCGAUUUCGGCCCCGUUUACGUCAGUUUCAGCUAGGAUUCGACGGUGGAAGACUGCUCAAGGUAAGACCGAACUCUAUCUCUUCGAUUUUUUUAUUGUUCGGUCGAAAUUUGUAAAUUAGGGUUUCGUAGAUUUGGGGAUUUUUAAAAUUUCAUGUUCGGAUCGAUUGAAAAUGGCGUUUUCGGUUUGAAAUCUGUGUGUUGUAGCAAUUGAUACAAAAGAAUGAAUCCGAUUUGAUGGGUUUGUGGUAGUUUGCUUUUAGGGUUUCUGUGAUUUGGGGAAAUCGGUUUUGAAGGUAGGAUCCAUUGAAAUUUGGGUUAGUGUGGUGUGUGCGGUUGUUCUUCGAAGUGAUACAAGUUCGAUGAUGGCAAUAUGUGUUCGAUUCCUGUACUUGGAUAAAGUUGGUUGAUAUCGGUUUGUGUUCUCGAAUUUUGAUCACUUUACCUGCUCUUGAAUCAGCUGUAGUCACUUGAUAACUGUUCUUUUCGAGUUAUGUGAUGUUGGUUUAUCGUUGCAAAUGUUUAUGAGUUAUGUGAUGAAUGAAUAUUGACUAUCGAUGUUUAAGUAUUGAUUGUUGAGUUUUGUGGUUUAGAUAUGUUUUGAUAUGAAUGUAUAUAUGGCUGUUCUGUCUGAAAUGGAUAAGGUUAGUUUAGUUGUUUAUAUUACAUGGUCUGACUACAUUGAUAUCUGUUUAUGACAGAUAAUGCCGAGUCUCCCAAGUGACACCUCUUCCGAACCUGAAGUGGACCUUAGCUGGGCAUAUGCGGAUGCGACGUUUGGCAUCGCAGAGAAAUGCUUUUGUGGGCGACGAAUGAUAUUGGAGUCAAUGACCGGUGCAGGACCAAACUUACCAGGCCGCAAGUACUAUACUGCCCGGACUGGCUUGAAGAGGUAAUGGACAUAAUUUGUUGUUUUUAUGUACUAUUGUGUUGUUUUUAAUGGACAUACUGUGUGGUUUUUAUGUACUAAUGUGUUUUUUGUUUCUGAUUAAGGGACACCGCAUUCAUCAUCACCGCUGGCAGUGGUGGGAUGAGGCGGUAACCGAGCAGCUCUCCAUUGUGGACUCGACGCUAAGAGAGCAUAAGGAGAUGCUGACAAGGAUGGGUCGGAGUCCGUUUGAUCCAACCAUUGGGGAGAUAAACGCAGCGGUCAGAGUCCUCCAAGCAGAAGUGGGUAGACUUAAGGAACAGAAACAAGGUGAAGGGUUUGUCACCUUGUUUUUUAUUUUUGUUAUUGCAGUAAUCUCGUACUUCUUUAAGUAGGUGUAGCCUCGGUUUAGCUAUGUUCGACUGGUUAACAAUGGUUUAUUUUACUCCAUACGAGGAGUUAACUAUGACAACCUUGUUAGAUUGUCUUUAUUUACGGUACUAGGACUUCAAAACUUGUAAUGGUAUGUUAUGGAGCUAUGAAGCUAUUAUGAUAUGAAGUACUCUAUUUAAUGAGUUGGUUGAUGUAUUGAUUGUUGUGUUUGUUUGAUGUAUUAAGUUAGUUUUAAUGCUUUUUGUGAGGUUAAUGGUGGACCAAUCGAAAGAACCAAGUAAAGCUUCAGGUUCAUCAUUAUGUUAAGGUCAGUCUUCUCUCUUCUUCGUUUGCUUUAGUAGUCCAUUAGGAUUGUGAUAAAUUCUUGAUGACUUUAUUAGGUAAAUGUCUUUCAUAUUAAUGAUCGUAAAUUUAGGGUUGGUUUGUAAAAAGUAAAUGCUUUGUGUUAAGCCUUUUGCUUUCUAUCAUAUCAUAUCAAUGCCAUAGUUAUUACUAAAACCUAAACUUCUUCAAUAUUUUAAAAGUAGUAAAGACUUAAACUUAAACUUCUUCUAUAUUUUAAAACUUCAAAGACUUGAACUUAAACUUCUUCUAUAUUUUCAAACUUCAAAGACUUAAACUUCCAAAUCGUAUCCUUCUUCUUUCAAAACUUCAACUUCGCCUUCUACUUCUAAACCCCAACCUGAAACUCACUCACUUAUGGAUAUCCCUAACCCCUACCAAAAUGGUGAAGGUUUUGUUAACCUCUUAACAAGCCAGCUAGUUAAUGAGGUUAAUGCACCAACUAUCGACCUUCGAUCAGCCGACCUCCCACAUUUCAGUUCACAAGUUUUUGGGGAACCAACUCAAGGAGGCAGGAAUCAGGCGGAGCGAAGGAAAUGGACGCCAAAGGAAGACCUGGUUUUGAUCAGUGCCUGGUUGAAUACAAGUAAGGACCCGGUGGUUGGUACAGAUCAGAAAAAUACAGCCUUCUGGAAACGGAUUGUCGAUUUGUUCAACUCCUGUCCGGAUCUAGUUGGUCAGCCCAGAAGAGAGGUUAGCACCUGCAAGCAGAGAUGGGGACGUAUCAAUGACCAUGUCUGCAAGUUUGUUGGGAGUUAUCAAGCCGCCACGAAGGAGAAGAGCAGUGGCCAAAACGAUAACGAUGUCAUGAAAGCUGCUCAUGACAUCUUCUAUAACGACUAUGAGAUGAAGUUUACCCUAGAGCAUGCAUGGAGUUUACCCUUAACUCAGUUAUGCGAUGUUGGUCAGUCGUUAGUUUGUAUUAUUUUGUUCUCUUUGAUGUUAUUUGCCAUUUCGUAUGUUUGUAUGAUGAUAUUUGGUAUGGGUGUAUUGAGUUUUCUUUAAUUUUUGCUUUUUCAGGUCCUCAAUGAUGGCUAGGUGGAGUCACUUUAUGAAGUUUACGUCGUUGUGUGACCAGAAUAUUAUCAACUUGUGGUUGUCAUGAAAGUAUUUUGGAAUUUAGCACUUUAUAUUUCACGAGAUUUCAUUUUGUGGAUGUAGUGUAAUUGUAUUUUUGUGCACUUUGCAAGUUGUAAAACCCGUGACUCAAAUACUUCUCAUUUAUAUACAGUCUUUACUUCUUCACAUUCUUCACCAAAUUCUCAAAAACACAUACUGAAAAUCUCUUUCUACCAAACCACAAACUGCGUUCUGUCAUAAAUUUUUUUUCAAUAUAUAGCAAACACAAACACCAAACUAUGGCAUCUUCCUCAAACAACGAUUAUGAUGAUGAUUUUGAAGACGCGUUUGAUGGCAUAUUUGAUCAAAAAUUUGACGAGGCUGUCCAAGAAGUUCUAGACCGUCAAACAAGAGCAAAGCAGAAGAAGAAGCGUGCGUACAUUGAAAGGGAACGCGAACAAGGCCACAACCGUCUGUGGAAUGAUUAUUUCGCUGAAGAUGCAACAUAUCCUCAUCAUCUUUUCCGUCGCCGUUUUAGAAUGAACAAGGACUUGUUCUUGCGCAUUGUUCAUCGCCUAUCUACUGAAGUUCCAUACUUUCAACAAAGAAGAAAUGCGGCUGGCAGAUUUGGUCUUUCCGGUUUACAAAAAUGUACAGUAGCUAUCCGUAUGAUGGCAUACGGUUGUGCGGCUGACGCAUUUGACGAAUAUCUUCGUCUAGGUGCAAGUACUGCGUUGUUAUGUUUGGAAAACUUCACUGAAGGAAUAAUUAAUUUGUUUGGUGAUGAAUACUUGAGAAGACCCACUCCAGCCGAUCUCCAACGCCUCCUCGAUGAAGGACAAUCACGGGGAUUUCCCGGGAUGAUUGGAAGUAUUGAUUGUAUGCAUUGGGAGUGGAAGAAUUGUCCAACCGCUUGGAAAGGACAAUAUACGCGUGGUGCUGGAAAACCGACAAUCGUCUUAGAGGCAGUAGCAUCCUACGAUCUUUGGAUCUGGCACGCGUUCUUUGGGCCUCCAGGUACAUUAAACGAUAUUAAUGUACUUGAUCGUUCACCUGUUUUUGAUGACAUAUUACAAGGUCGAGCUCCAAAAGUGCACUACUGGGUUAACGGAAAUGAAUAUCGUUUGGCGUACUACCUUACGGAUGGCAUUUAUCCUAAAUGGGCAACUUUCAUCCAAUCAAUCUCACUUCCUCAAGAUCCUAAAUCUACGUUAUUUGCUACACGUCAAGAGGCAGUCCGCAAAGACGUCGAACGUGCUUUUGGAGUUCUCCAAGCUCGGUUUGCGAUUGUAAAAAACCAUGCUCUUUUCUGGGAUAAAGAAAAAAUUGGCAAGAUUAUGCGAGCGUCAAUCAUUUUGCACAAUAUGAUUGUGGAAGACGAACGAGGUACCCACACUUUAGUAGAUACAACACAAUUUGAUCAAGUUGAAGGAACUAGAACUUCACAUGUGGAUAUGACAUAUUCUACAAAUAUGUCUACAAAUCUGAACAAUGUGAUCAGCGAUCGAAUUCAAAUCCGAAAUGAAGUUCGGGAUAGGACAAUGCAUCUUCGAUUGAAAGCCGAUUUAGUGGAACAUAUCUGGACCAAAUUUGGUACUUUUGAUAUUUAGAUAAAUAUGUUAUGUAUUUUAAAUAUCUAUAGUAUUUAUGUUUAUGUUUUUAUUUUUUUUGUAAUGAUUCUAUUAAUAUGAAAGUUUUAAUUACAUAAAAAAAAUUUUAAAUUUGCAAAAAAAAAUUAAUUUUUUAUUCCUAACAACCUUUAUCUCGGGUUCACUAAUGGAAGCCCAAAUCAACCUCAGUAUCUUCACUGUUCACGUCUGCCAAAAGUAAUACUAUUUUAAUGUUAACAACCCCAUUAGUAGUAUGACUAAUGGACAUGCCCUAAGCUUCAAAUUGUAUUGUCUUCACUCUUCAGUAUAAGACUAAUGAAUAUUUAAUUUACAAUUUUGAAUUUUCUAAAUGGAGUAGGCCAAGAUCAGGCCCAAGCUAUAACCGCUUCCUACAGGCUAUUGAUGCAAUCAAAUGUUACAAAUUGCAAACGGCUAUUUGCAAUUUGUGUUCGCAUUGGUCCAUUGAAUUUUCUUUUUCUUUUUCUUUUUUAUAUCUUGUAUCGAGUCAUAUGGAAAUGGACAACACUCAGUUUAAUACUAGAUGCCCGGUAUCGGUUCUUAUCAGCUUCGCUGCUUUAUAUAUAGUCGCCGUCUGCAAGAAUCAUUCUGAGAAAUGCUAGACAAAAGUGAGAAAGACGAUUUCGUAAAAGAAAGAAGAUUGAGUUUUUCCAGAAACUACUCUACAAGAUUGUUGUAGUUUCUGGACACGCAGCUAUUUCAAACGACGAACCAAUGUUCAAGACCGGUGGGCGGUGAAUAAUUGUGCAUAUCAAUUAAGCUUGCGAAUUUUUUUUUUUUUUUUUUUGGCUGAAGAUUUGUUCUUGGGUUCUUGUUUUAAUGUUCUUAAUGUGGUGAAGCCAUUAAAAAAGGAAUGUGAAAACUCUUAAAAUUAAAAAGACUCUUUCCAUGUCUUCUUAAGUGAAGUUGUCUCUUAAGCUUAUUGCCCCCAAAUCAGAAAGCCUCUAGAUAUAGUUUGGGAUUAGAUGGAAGUCAUAGCAUCUUCAGAUUAGGUUUAGGGGGUUUAAAUUAAAGAGUCUGAAAAACAGGAUCUUCAUGAUUUAGCAAAAUCAUAUAACUUUUCAUCUUGAUUCCUCCGGUUAACAAUACAAACACACUGCAAGAUGAAAUAGAAAAAGCUACAGGUAGAGGAAUUUGAUUUUGAAUAGUGAGGAAUCAAAAUACACAGUAAAUUCAGAGGCAUCACAUGCUUUUAUGAUAUAUCCUUUCACGUAAAAGCAUAAAAACUGUUGAUUAUAUAAAUACAUGUAGCUUGAGAAAAAAGCAAUCCGCCUUAACUUAUUACAUAGAAAAAUGAAAACAGAAAAUCCAAUUGAACAACACAACACACUGCAGAGAGAUAAGAAUGCAUAGGAAAAAACAAUAAUACAAUCCAAUGAACAACACAUCACACUUUGAGGAAGAAAGAAAAGCAGAAGAAGAAGCGUGGAUUCUGGUUUCUGACUGUGAGGAAUCCCAAUCCAGCUUAAGGUAUGGUUAGUCAUACAGAACCUGUUAAGAAGAAAUAAAAUAAACAAAGUUAGUGAAUAUACAGAAAUUCAUCUAAAACUGCGAGGAAUAUCCAGCAAAUUCUGCCUCACCAUUAAUUUACUAAUUUUAAUCAGUUUCUAUUAAUUUACUAAUUUACGAAUGUGAGAGGAAACGAAGAAGAAAGAAAAUACUGUUUGUGAUUUAGUCAUUUGAAGAGCUCAAUGCACGUAUGUAUCUAAACUUUUGAAAUUAAUGACCCCUCGUAAAUAUCCAACAAACACAGGUCUGAUGAUUUUGCAGAUAAUUUUCUAAUUUUGUGACCCAAUUUGUGUUUUGUUGGGUAUCAUGAUGCAAAUGGAUCAUAUCAGACUAAAAAAAAAAACGAUCACACUUCAUUCUAACCUUGAGCAAACUUGAAAGAAACUCAGUAAGAUAAAUUAAUUUAUUCAAGCGGAAGAGAAUAAGAGAAAUGAUUACCGAAUGGAUUAAAGGCAAGAUACGUUUUUUGGUAUCUUCAUCCUCCCAUUCAAGCUCAGUUUUCUGUUCUUCAGGAUCCAUAUAUAUUCCAAACCGGUCAAGUCGUGGGACACUUGUAGCAUCAAAGGGAAGCUUUCUCAGCUUUGGACACUUUCUUACUUCUAUGCGCUGCAAUGAUGGAAAGGGGAGAGGACUCCAGUAGAUACUCUCCAGCUCAGGCAAAUUUAACAGGGAUAAGUAUACUAGUUUCUGAAAUGGUGUAGUACCUGUAAGAUUGGUUGCUUUCUCUUUGUUUAUGAUUUCUUCUAGUUCUCCUGAAUGUGAAAUUUCUAGCAAAGUCAGAUUUGGAGAAAGCAAUAGCCAAGUCAGAUCCUUAAUGCCAUGACAGCUAACCAUUGACACGACGGAGAGGUUGGUAAAGCAUGGACUUGUUGGAUUGUGUAAAUGAGAUGAGUCGGUCUUGCUUCCUCUGCAUUUAAUAUAUGUAUCAAUCGCCGACACAUGACUACCAUACACAUGGAGCACACUAAGAUUCUCCAUACUCAACAGCGAUGACAUUUUGAAUGGCUUUUCUUUAAAACGUUGAAUAUCCAGCCAACUGAUGCAGUUAGCCAACCUUUGAUCACCUAAUAUAUGCUUCAAACCCAACUCGGUAGAGAUCGUUAUCUCUAGAACUUGUAGAUGCUCCAAGAGCUGCAGCUCCUUCAACAAGCUAACAUCUCCAUGAACUUUAGAAUAUUUUAGUUUCAAAACUCUUAAACUCGACAGCUUUGAUAUCCCACUGAUACUACGAAGACUCUCUGUACCAGUCAAAUCCAGAUAAAUUAGCUUUUUCAACUCUUGGAAACCAACUGGCAGUUGCUCUAUACUUGUGUUCCACAAGUUAAGAUACUGCAAGGAGGCCAGCUUCGAUAUAUCCUCAGGAAGUUUUUUGAAAUAGCGAUUACGUGAUAGAUCCAAAACAACUAGCUUUUGCAUAGAGCCGAUGAAUUCACUUGAGAGAUUCUUCAAAUUAUUAAUGUGGAGGAACAGAGUUGUAAGUUCAGAACACUUGGAACCGCAUGUUAUCUCUUCAAUAUGAUUCUUCAUCAAAGACAUCCUUCUCACAGCUCCCCAAUCAUUGACUUUUGGCAUUUUGUAUAAUCCGACUAGUGCUUGAACGAAAAAAGUAUCGGAUGCAAUCCAUAGAGCCAUUUCGCGAAUCACGUCAUGCAUCACAACCUUUUCUUUUAUAUCAGAGAUAUUUGUCAGCAAAUUUGAGCGGAUAAGGGUACCAAGUAUCUCAUAACCCUUAUUCACUGUCCUUUUAUAAGAUUGGUCUUCCUUGAUGAAUCCCUCGCAUAUCCAGUACUCUAUCAAUUCUUCUUUAUCUAUAGGAAAAUCUUCCGGAAACAGAGCACAAUAGAGGAAACACGACUUGAUAUUUUCACCCACCAAGCUAUCGUAGCUGAACUUCAGAAUCGGAAGAAUUUUGUUUUCCAUGUCGGAAAACUCUGCAGCGGAUCUGGUCAAAACAUCUACUGCAAGCUCCCAUUCUUGCACCGUAGUUUUAUAUGACAUUGUCUCACCAAUGACAACAAGCGCUAGUGGCAGACCACGACACUUUUCAGCGACCUUUUUUGCAAGCUCGACAAUGGCAGGAUCUCUACUUAAUGUAUUGUCUCCUACCUUGCUUUUGAACAAUUCCCAUGCUUCUUCUUGUCCCAAACAGUCGACUUUCAUUGGCUCAUGAUCUCCCAUCCGUCCACAUACUUCCCGAGAACGAGUGGUGAAUGCUACUUUGCAUCCAUUUUCUCUGGUGGGAAAUGGAACUCCGAUGGCUUCUAAAUCCAAUUUCUCCCAUAUAUCAUCUAACAUCAGGACAAAUCUCUUCCCCUUCAAAACUCUUGUUAUAUCAGCGGCCUUGUCAUCUUCACUUUUGUUCGUUCCGCCAAGGUUUAGCUUUUGUGCAAUAUCAUCUUGAAGCUUUGAAAUAGUUGCACCUUGAGACACCACGACCCAGAUCACAACAUCAAAUCUACCAGCCAUUUCAGUGAACUUAUUGUGGAUUUUCUUGAAAAGGGUAGUCUUGCCUACACCACCCAUACCGUGCAAACCCAUGAUUCCAACUCCAUCUUCCAUAAGGCGCUUCCAUGCCUUUUCCAGCAUUGUUUCCUGACCAAUCGUAGGCCCAGUAGGCCUUUCUUCUACUGCAGAUCUCAAAACCGGCUCAGUAACCUCUUUAAAAUUACCCUCCGAUUUGAGUUUCUUAACCUCUUUCAGCAACAAGAAUACCUUUUUCCCAUAUUUGUAGCUGGAACAUACACUUUUUGAAGAUAAACCACAGAGACAUAACUUCUUAAGCUCAACAGGACUAGUACUAAGCAGAUUAUUGAAUCGUGUAUCGAUGCUCUCGACACGUGUUAGCCAUACCUUGACAGCUUCAAGCCUUUGUUGAUGUUGUGCCUCCUCUCUCGCUACUUUGUUCUUCACCUCAGCUUCAAUUGCCUUGAGAUCAUCCAUUUCCCUCUUCAGAGCCUUGAGAUUCUCCUUGAGGUUUCGAAUAUAACCCUUACCACAUAAGCAUCUAAAGAUACGAUUGAGAUCAUUACCAGUAAGUUGGAUAGGAUUACAACUCCCCAUGUCGAUAGAAAGAGAGAAAACUUUGAGUAAGCAACAAACGAAAGCUAAAGAUGAAGAAGUGUUUUAUGUGAAAAGCAUUUUACAAGUGACGAAGGCAUAUAUAAUUCCCUAUGGUGAUAAAAAAAUAAUAUUUUCUGAAGCUGAAGUAUGUCAAAAAUAUCAUUGGAGAUAAGAUAACACAUCUUUCUCCAAUACGGGUGGUUAGGAGAUUUUCCAAAGGAAAAAAAAAAAAAAUUGCUUACGAAAGACUUUGACUAUUCUAAUAUCCGACCAUAGAUUUUACGUGUGAAGACUUUGCUUAAACUUAUUUCAAGUCAACUAAAGUCCUAUCUUCUGCUCUUAUGUUCUUCGUUUGGCGCUUGUAGCUGUCAAUUUGUUAGCCAUGUUGGCUUUGUUAUUGUUUGUAAACAAUUCCUCCUCUAAUGGAGCGUAGCUAAUCUAUAAAAUCUCAUUAAAAGAAAACCCAAGUCUAAGGUUACAGAAACUUGGAUUGGUCAAUUAGUGGAGAUGAUUAUGUAAUGCAUUGUUUGUUAUGCCCAAAGUAGCUUACGAAGUGGAGUCUUUUUUUUUGCAUUGAAAUCCUAAACGAUUAUUGUGUUGUGCCCAUUCUAUUUCUUCGUUAGUCUCUCUGAAGUAGAAGAACAUACCUUCGAGUUAGACAUUGCCUGUUUAUGAUUUCACUUGGAUUCAUGUUUCUUUUUUAGCACUCUGUUGAGGAUUUCUUAUGUGCUACUUGGAACAAGUAUGGGUUUUAAUUCUUUAAGUUGCUCAUUAAUGGAGUUUUAGUGAGUGUAGAGAUUUUGAGUUCACUAAUUCGUAAAAGAAAUGCUUGACAAAAGUGAGGAAGACGGAUUCGUAAAAGAAAAAGAUUGAGUUUGCCACAAACUACUCCACAAGAUUGAUCCCGAUAGCUAAUUCAAAUAGUAUUUUGGAGACAAACUAUGAAACUAUGUUCAAGACCGGUGAAUAAUUGACCGUUGAGGGCCUUGAGGCUGGUGCAUGUAAUGUGAACCGUAAAAUACUGGUUCGAAUACAACGAUUUAAUUAGGAUUAGUGUCUUGUUGAAAAAGACUAUGGAAUGUAAAAUUCAAAGCCAUUAGAUUAAAAUCAUGCUCUUUAAAAAAAAAAUCAUAAAAACUAGGGAAAGUUUUAUGAAAGAGGCAACGUUCAUAUGUUGAAAAGCAAACUUUUGAAUGAAUAAUGACUAUUUUUCUCUUGAAAGAAUCAAAAUUUAAAACGAGUGUAAAAGGGAUCCCACUUUCUUGCGACAGGAAAACUUUUCCACUUUCACUGCUGACCUCAACAACGAUCACAAAUAACUGAAAGAAUUAUUUGAAUUCAAAUGAUUAUUGUUAAACCGGUGAUCACUUAAUUUCUCGUCUGGUCCGAUUCGAACAUAAUAGUGCUUCCCUUUCUCAAAUAUUAAACGAACAUUACUAACGACUAAUUUCAGAUAAAUUAUUUUUAUUAAUUACUGGUAAUUAUUUUGGGUAUAAAACUCUCUUAGGGAUAUAACAAAAAAAAAAAACAUUUUCAUAAAUAAUCUUUUGACCAUUACAUCAUUCAAGCAAAUUACAACUUUUGAUCAGCACAAAAGUAUUACACAAAUGAAUUACAGAGGUAAGGUAAGUAGCUUUACGAAUUACAAUCCAGUGUAAAAAUGAGAAAAUUUACUUGAAAAAAAAUCAAAUGAGAAAUUUCACACCCAAAAAAAAAAAAGAGAAAACUUAUUCCCCGGAAUAUUCUCUUUUCAGAGAAAUAUGAAACACUCUAACGAAACAAGCGGGUUCUCUAACAACUCCUCAGUGGUAUAACCGUAAUUCUGAUACUGUUGCUGAUCCGACCCGUUCUUAUUCGGAUCUAUCCUAACCCGAGCCGGAGACUGAUUGUUUUUUCUACUCUUAGCCCCACCCACCCGACUCUGAUUCGAAUCCAUCAUGGAUCUAUUCGUCGCCGGCGAUCUCGACCUUCUUCCGGAUCUCUCACCCGGGUCUCUCGUGCCCGACCCGAAUCUCGCUCCAUUACACGUACCGAUAUUUCUCUUACGAGGAGAUUGAUCGGUUCUUCGGGUCGGGUAAUUAUUACCUGCGACCCGGGUCCGAGAUUUAGCCGGAGAUCUCUGAGAUUUCCUCUGCUUCAGCUUCACUUCUUCCUCGUCGUACACAUUCAUCACAGCCGUCGAAGAAACACUCUCGCUCAAGCUCAAGCUACAAAU
This 76653-nucleotide long non-coding RNA is filed under the name Eutrema salsugineum. RNAcentral's name for it is "long non-coding RNA (ESAL_LNC000182)". Lineage: Eukaryota; Viridiplantae; Streptophyta; Magnoliopsida; Brassicales; Brassicaceae. The record is from RNAcentral.